RNAcentral lists this long non-coding RNA (81479 nucleotides) under Malus domestica (apple). RNAcentral's name for it is "long non-coding RNA (MDOM_LNC014620)". The stretch from base 55337 to 55428 matches the Rfam family "tRNA". Lineage: Eukaryota; Viridiplantae; Streptophyta; Magnoliopsida; Rosales; Rosaceae. The record is from RNAcentral.
AUGGAUAAGUCGUUCCAGUAAAACUGUAAAAAAAGCAUCUUCAUUGAUUGCUAUCUAGGUUCCUUUAAAUUUUACUUCAACUGAACGGUUCUAUUUUCUCCUUCCAUUUCUCUGUUUUCUCUGAGUGGUAAAACAUGAUACGCUUCACAUAAAAAAGUUGCUUCCUUUUCUCCCUUUUUCUCUUCGUUUCUGUCGGUUUCGGAAACUCCCACACUUAGCAAACAGUAAGUGCUAUAUCAGAGCUGCUUUAGUUUCCUUUUUCGUUGUCGAAAAUGCUUCCCUUUGUGUUAUAAUUUGAUAUUUUAUGUGUUUGCUUCUCGGUUCGUGUUCGUGUUGGCAUUGACAUUGUAUGGGAGGGUGAUGAUCAGAGAGAGCACUUUGAGCAUGGUGAGGUGGUGGUGGCUUGGGGCAAAAGGAGGUCUCUUGCAGAAGAAAAACCUCCCUGAAACGCACCUCUGACGAUAUUGGCUAGGGACAGGACACGCGGAAAGACCCUCGUGAAUGUGUCACAUAAUCUCGGUGCAGCUAAGCGGAUUGGAGUUGACGCUGUGUUUCUGCCGGCAGAUGUUCGGAAAAAAAUUGACAAUAUCGAAACAAAAAUUGACGCUUCUGUCGCUACACUUUCUGAUGGGACAAAAGGAAUUCGAAGACUAUAAAAGAUGGUUUGUGUUGAUGCACAAAAUCAGUGCGGAUUUUGGUACAACAGAAAAUGUUAAGUUUGUGACCUUCGCUAGAUUGCUCCGGUCACUAGUAUGGAUAAGUAUGUAAAUAGAUAGAGACAGGGAAGCAAACACAAGAUGUACGUGGUUCACCCAGAUUGGCUACGUCUACGGAGUAGAGGAGUUCUCAUUAAUUGUGAAGGGUUUACACAAGUAAAUAGGUUCAAGCUCUCCUUUUGUGAGUACUAGUGAAUGAUUUAGUACAAAUGACAUUAGAAAAUAUUGUGGAAGAAUGAUCUCCUUUUAUAGAAAAGAGUAUCUAGUUUUGUUUUGACAUUGACACGUGUCAUGUUGUGAUUGGCUUUUGAUGUUGACACAUGUCGCGCUAUGAUUGGAUUCUGAUGUCGACACGUGUCGCGCUGUGAUUGGCCUCCUGGUUGGAGGGAAACUCUUAUGGGUCCUUGACGGUAUAACGUUGACCGGUACUCAGUAGUUUCGGGAUUGGUCAAGUAUGGUACAAACAGUGCUCCCCUAAGUUCCCGAGUGAGGGAAGCUCCUCGGUUGGGGACUUGCAAGAUCCAAGCCACUGAGUAAUAACGAAACUUCUAAGUACCGAAGUGUGGUAUCGUUUUCAUUUGCCUUAUAUGUCUCAUAGGUAGAUGUGGCAUCUUCUCUGGAAGUAUUUUUCCUCCAUCCAGCGGUGGUAUCUUUAACUAGUGGAGAUGCACAAGGUAAUGUAUCAAUUUGACUUGAAGCUUACUUGUAGUUUCAAGCUUGGUCAAGCGCAAUACAAAUCAUGUAGUAGGAGUCACCCAAGUCGCCUAGCUAGGAGAUUUGUCGAAAGAGAUGACAUACAAGGUAAGCAAUUAGAGUUAUAAGUAAUCAGUCCCAGAUCAAAAGUUUGAUUUUGAGUUCCGGCUGAUUGUUCUCAUUCUCCAUAUCUUGCAUGCAGCAAGAAGGAUAAAAAGAAGAAAAAUGAGAAGAGAUGAUAUGAGAUACUUUUGCUUUUGAAGAAGUAACUUUCCACAGGCUUAUUCUUGAACUGGGCUAGAGGGUUUUCUGGUUUCCUCUAGAGUAUAAGGCCGACUCAAGAAUUUAAGGGUCAAAACAAGCCCAUCAAAUCUAUAGUACGUUCGACCUUGAUGAUAUGAGAUACUUUUGCUGUUGACAAAAUAGUAGAUGUAUCGGCACGUGUUCUGUUACGCUUGUCUCCAGAUGCUUCCUUAUAUCCUUCUCACUUGCUUUAUCUGUUCAUCAUGCAGAUGUGGUAUCUUUUCUGGAAGCAUAAGAUGUUGAAGAUAAGUACUCGAGAGUAAUGCCAGGUAAGUAAUCAGGCAAGGGGUUCCAGGCAGUCAGUUCCUGACUGGAAGCUUGAUUCCAAGUGCUGACUGAUUGCUCUUUUUCUCCUUGUCUUGCAGAUAAGAACAAGGCCAAAGGAAAAUACAGGAAAAAAACAUUAUAUGGUAUACUCUUGCUUUUAACCCUGAUGAUAUGAUAUACUAUUGCUCUGGUGUGGCUUGUUUGCAGAGGUAUUAUCGGGGGGAAAAGAAGCUGAGUAUUUUGAGAGACUCUGCUGAGAAUGCCCUCUCGGAUGUGAAGAAAAGUUGAGCAUUUUUUUUAUUUGCAGGUCUGCCUAGCUGUGGAUGAUGAAUGUCGACAUAUAUAGGAAUUGUCCCAACAGCGAGUGGUAACGUUGUUCCUUUACCCUUCUCGGUCAUAGCAAUGUAGUGGAAGCUACAAGAUUCAGGUGUUUUAACUUUGUUAUAACACUUUGAAAAAGUGGUCUGUGGUAUCUGGAAAGCUAAUGUUACGUGUGAAGAUUGCAAACAAGUUUUAUCCAAGGAAAUCUGGCUUUUGAAGUUUGGAGAGCGGUGCAUCUUCGUUUUUCGAACAAGCAAUCCUGUCGGGGAUCUGGCUUUCGAGAUUCAAAGAACGGUGCCUCUUUGAUUUUUGAGAAAGCAAUCCUAUUGGGAGUCUGACUCUUGAGAUUCGGAGAGUGGUGCCUCUUCGAUUUUUGAGCAAGUAAUCAUGUUGGGAGUCUAACGCUCGAGAUUCGGAGAGCGGUGCCUCUUCGAUUUUUGAGUAAGCAAUCUUGUUGGGAGUCUGGCUCUCAAGAUUUGGAGAGCGGUGCCUCUUCGAUUUUUGAGUAAGCAAUCUUGUUGGGAAUGUUUUCUUGAAUGUGAGUAAAUGUUAGGCAUUUUUGCCAGUCUGCCUUGCCACGGAGCAUGGAGGUUGACACACAUAGGGACUUUCCAGUUAUCAAGUAACGGUGCUGUUCCUUUACCCUUAUGGGUAAUAGUAGGGUAGCUGGACCUUCAAAAUUUACGUGUCUAAACUUUGUCAGAGAUCUUUGGCAAAGUUAUUUGUGGUACCCGAUGAGCUGAUGUUGCGUGUGGGGAUUGUUGACAUAUUUUACUCAGGAAAAUCUGCUUCUCAAAAUCCAGAGAGUGGUGCCUCUUCGAUUUUUGAACCAACGGCCCUGUUGCCCUUUCUUUAUAAGGGCACCAAUUAUGUGCAAGAAGUACGUUCAUAGAGUUAUUGCUUAUAGGAAUUUUCUCCUUAUUUUUGCACUUCAGAGAUUUAUUGCACCUCAUUUCUCCUUCAUCAUUUAUAAGAAUGUUUGGCCCAUCCGAUCGUCGUUUUGACUUGAACUUUGGUGAAGAGGCAGCCAUGCCUUCUCAAGACAACAUAUAGCGCCCAUCGUUCUUAUCCUUUACUGGUCCUCUUACCGUUGGGGACUUUGUGAUGAAGAAUGAUAUGACCGCUGCGGUGGUGGCCAGGAACCUUCUCACUACCAAAGAUAACAGACUACUUUCCAAAUGGUCUGAUGAGUUGGCUGUUAAGGAUUCUCUGGCUCUCAGUGUUCAGUGUGCAGCUUCUGUGUCUAAUAUGGCCAAACGCCUAUUUGCUCGAACCCGCCAAGUUGAAUCAUUGACGGCUGAAGUGAUAAGUCUCAAACAGGAGAUCAGAGGGCUCAAGUAUGAGAAUAAACAGUUGCAUAAAGAGGAAGCUCGACCAGCUGCAGGAAUCUGAUAGUCAGAUUUUACUUGAUCAUCAGAGGUUUGUGGGUUUGUUCCAAAGACAUUUAUUGCCUUCUUCUUCUGGGGUUGUACCGCGUAAUGAAGCUCCAAAUGAUCAACCUCAGGUGCCUCCUCAUUUUGGGGUUCUACCCAAUACUGAGGCUCCAAAUGAUCACCCUUCGGUGCCUUCUAUUUCUAGGGCUUUGUCGACUGCUGAGACUUCUCCUGAGCAACCUUUGUGAAGGCUCCCUCUUGUUUGUUUAUUUUGAUUCAUGUAUAUGUACAUAUUUGUAAUUUAUCAGAGAUAUCAAUAAAUGAGCUUUGCUUCAUUUCAACGUAUUGUGUUAAAUACACCAAAGUCUUCUUCACUAAGUUCUUUGAAUUUUUUCUUUUGUCGAAGCUUGUAUGUUAGCUUUGUGAGUGAAACAUGUAGGUUGAGGUAGUGUUCCCUUAAUUUCCCGAGUGAGGAAAACUUCUCGGUUGGAGACUUGAAAAAAUCCAAGUCACUAGGUGGUCGUCAGACUUCCGAGUAUCAAGGUGUAGUAGCAUAUGGUAGGAGUCCCCCAAGUCUCUGGUCGAGAGAGUUGACGAAUGAGACAUUUCCUUUCUAAUUGGUAGCCCAAAACUCCUUCUUUAUAUUGUUAGGCCCAAAAAAGAUGGAGCCUAGGCAAUUUUUUUUUAUUUUAUUUUUCGAAUCCAAAAUUUUGAAUUUUUGAAUUUCCGAAAAUAUAUAUAUUUAAGUUUUGUAGGUGAAGCUUUGACGUUGAAGCUUUGUUAGGUACCAUGAAUUGAUUUUGCUUCACACUAUCUUAAUCAAGAUAGUGUGAAGCUUUUGUGGUGGGUGAAGCUUUUGUUGACUAAGCUUUUGUAGGUGAAACUUUUGUGGUGGGUGAAGUUUUUGUGGGUGAAGCUUUUAUGGGUGAAACUAUUGUAGGUGAAGAUUUUGUGUUGAAGCUUUGUAGGUGAAACUUUGAAGUUGAAGCUUUGUAGGUGAAGCUUUUGUGUUGAAACUUUUGUAGGUGAAGCUUUGAAGUUGAAGCUUUUAUUGGGUACCAUGAAUUGAUUUUGCUUCACACUAUUUUGAUUAAGAUAGUGUGAAGCUUUUGAGAAUUUGUAGUUGUCCUCCGUUGAUGAAGCUUUUGUUGGUGAAGUUUUUGUGGUGAAGCUUUGUUGGGUACCAUGAAUUGAUUUUGCUUCACACUAUCUUGAUUAAGAUAGUGUAAAGCUUUUGAGAAUUUAUAGUUGUCCUUCAUUGGUUAAGCUUUGUUGAAUUUCCCAAUUUUUUUUUUUUUUGGAAAACUAGAAAUUUGAAAAUGUGGGAGAGACAACAUAUACAAAUUUUGCUUCAACACUGUUGAGCAAGAGAUUGUGAUGCAAGCGACACUUUGUAGUAGUUGAAGGUUUGGAUGAACCAUAUAAAUUGAAUUUGCUUCGAACAGUUUUGAUUAAGAGUGUGUGAAACUUUCUACGAGUUGUAGUUGCUCUUCAUUGAUGAAGCUUUUGUUGGCACCAUAAAUUGGUUUUGCUUCACACUGUCUUGAUUAAGAGUGUGUGAAGUUUUUGAGAAUUGUGGUUGAACUCCUUUGAUGAAGCUUUUGUUAGCACCAUAAAUUGGUUUUGUUUCACACUGUCUUGAUCAAGAGUGUGUGAAGCUUUUGAGAAUUGUGGUUGCCCUCCAUUGAUGAAGCUCUUGUUGGCACCAUAAAUUGGUUUUGCUUCACACUAUCUUGAUCAAAAGUGUGUGAAGCUUUUGAUAAUUGUGGUUGUCCUUCAUUGAUGAAGCUCUUGUUGGCACCAUAAAUUGGUUUUGCUUCACACUGUCUUGAUCAAGAGUGUGUGAAGCUGUUGAGAAUUGUGGUUGAACUCCAUUGAUGAAGCUCUUGUUGACACCAUAAAUUGGUUUUGCUUCACACUGUCUUGAUCAAGAGUGUGUGAAGCUGUUGAGAAUUGUGGUUGAACUCCAUUGAUGAAGCUCUUGUUGACACCAUAAAUUGGUUUUGCUUCACACUGUCUUGAUCAAGAGUGUGUGAAGCUGUUGAGAAUUGUGGUUGAACUCCAUUGAUGAAGCUCUUGUUGACACCAUAAAUUGGUUUUGCUUCACACUGUCUUGAUCAAGAGUGUGUGAAGCUUUUGAGAAUUCUGGUUGCCCUCCAUUGAUGAAGCUCUUGUUGGCACCAUAAAUUGGUUUUACUUCACACUGUCUUGAUCAAGAGUGUGUGAAGCUUUUGAGAAUUGUGGUUAAACUCCUUUGAUGAAGCUCUUGUUGGCACCAUAAAUUGGUUUUGAUUCACAUUGUCUUGACCAAAAGUGUGUGAAGCUUUUGAGAAUUGUGGUUGAACUCCUUUGAUAAAGCUUUUGUUGGCACCAUAAAUUGGUUUUGCUUCACACUGUCUUGAUCAAGAGCGUGUGAAGAUUUCUACGAGUUGUAGUGUUUGCAUUGUUACAGAGGAGAAAUGUCUGAAGUACAUUCAAGAGGGCUGAAUAGCUUGAUUUUCGUAUGCCAUGCACUAAAGUUGUUGUUGGCUUGCAAUAAGACUUCGUUGGUGACUAUAACUCUUGUUGGGCAUAAUUGCUCCCCUAGUUGAGUUGUCAAGCUUGAGGGUUUUUGAUUAUUUGUGAAUGCUAGGAGUUCACAUGUACAAGUUGUACCACUUGUCUUCUGGUAAGUGGAAUGGAUGGUGAGUUGUUUUCAUCACUUGGUUGGUGGUACAAAGGUGAGUUCUUUCAUCACAUUUCAUCACAUUUCAUCACCUGGUUAGUGGCACGAAGAUGAGUUCAUUCUUCACCUGGUUGGUGGCAUGAAUGACAAGUUGCCAAAUGAUAUUAGAGUACGAGUUGUACAUUUCAUCACUUGGUUGGUGGCAUGAAGACGAGUUCCUUCUUCACCUGGUUGGUGACAUGAGUGACAAGUUGCCAAAUGAUAUUAGAAUACGGGUUGUACAUUUCAUCACUUGGUUGGUGGCAUGAAGGAGAGUACGGGUUAUACAUUUCAUCACCUGGUUGGUGGCAUGAAGAUGAGUUCAUUCUUCACAUUUCAUCACCUGGUUAGUGAGAAUAAGGGCAAGGUGUUGAGGCACAUUGUAGCAAGUGUUGAAUAACACAAAGUAUGUUGAACCCUUUCGAAGCACAGUUGGCUUAUUAUAAAUGUGUUGGAAUGUAUGAUUGAAAGAAUAUACUGUGAAACUGUUUGUUUAUUUGUAUAGUCUUGUUGAAAUAUACUUAGACUUUGUUUCAUGUUGGAAGCAUUCAUGCUGAAGCUUUGAACCUGAGUGUUUCAUUGUUAGGAAUGUAAGAGGAUUAGGACCGAGUUGUCUAAAUCACUUCUUUAUUGAAUUCAUGCUAAAAAGUCUUCGUUACAUAGGAUGUCGAACGGUUGAAGCUUAACACUUGUACUAUGUAAGUUUACUUGUAAUAGUACUUCAAGUGAUCAGUGUUCCAUGGAUGACCAAGGGUCUUGCCAUCGGAGCUUUUAAGCUUAUAGGAGUCAGGGCGACUGAUGCCAACAACUUCAAACGGUCCAUCCCAGUUUGGAAAAAGUGUUCAUUUACUCGGGACUCUGUCGUAGAGUAAUCUUUUCUUCAAUACACAGUCCCCCACUUUGAAAGAACGAGGUUUGACCCUUGAGUAAUAGUAGUUGGAGAUGUGCUACUAGUGAGCUUGGUUUCUGUGUUCCUCGACUAUAUCUAAGUUGAGGGUAAAUUGUUUGUCAUUUUCGCUUUGCACGUAGUUCUGGACUCAGAAUGUUGCUUGCUCAAGCUUAACUGGGGCAAUUGCCUCUGUACCAAAGGCAUGUGAGAAUGGGGUUUCUCUUAUUGAUGUCCGAUACGAAGUGUGGUAUGACCAAAGAACUUGGGGUACAAAUUCUAGCCAACAACUUUUAGCCUUGUCCAAGUUGGUUUUCAAAGUUUGCUUGAUUAUUUUGUUGAUGGCUUCAACUUGUCCAUUAGACUGAGGAUGAGUUGGGGAGGCAAAACAUAAGUUGAUGUUGAACUUAGAGCAGAACAUCUUGAACUUAUUGUUGUCGAACUGUCGCCUGUUGUCAGUGACUAUCGCAUUGGGAAUGCCGAAUCUGCAAAGGAUGUUCUUCCAUACGAAGUCUUUUAUUUUUUCCUCAGUAAUGGUUGCUAAGGGUUUCACUUCGACCCACUUUAUGAAGUAGUCAACUGCAACGAUUGCAUAUUGAACCUUGCCCUCCCCUACAGGCAUUAGGCCGAUCAAAUCAAGUCUCCAUUGGGCGAUAGGUCAAGGGCUGAUCAUAGGAGUGAGCUGCUCGAGAUGGGAGUGAGGAAUAGUUGCGUAACAUUGACACUUAUUACAUGAGCGAGAUAUUCUGAUGGUAUCUUGGUGGAGUGUUGGCCAGUAAUAUUCUUGGCGAAAAGCCUUGUGUGCUAGGAAUCGAGAUCCAGUAUGAUCUUCGCAGACUUCUUCAUGUAUUUCCCGAAUGACAGUUUCCGCCUCUACAGGCGUAAGGCAUCUUAGGUAUGGUAGGUUAAAACCCCGCUUGUAGAGUUGGUCAUUAAUGAUCAAGUAACGGGUAGCCUUGUAUUGAAUAUGCUUAGCUUGGACUUUGUCAUUUGGAAGGGUACCAUGAGUAAGAAAUCUAUAAAUCAGGGUAAUCCAACUAUUCCUCUGUUGUAAGUUGCACGCUUCCGCAGCCAUGGUGCUUGGUGCUACCAACAAUUAGACUUGAAUUUUUCUCCCAAUCUUGUCUUCCACCACUAAGGCGAGGCGAGCCAAAGCAUCUGUAUGAUUGUUUGCCGCUCGAGGAAUUUGGGUGAUCUGGUAGUGGAAGUGCUUAAGCAACAAUUGUGUUUGUGCCAGAUAUGCUGCCAUGGAGCUAUCUUUAGCGUCAAAGUUGUUGAUGACCUGGUUAACUACCAAUUGGGAGUCACUGAAGAUAUCAAUUCGUUUAACCCCAAGGUGUUUGGCCAAACGUAAGCCUGCUAGAAGGGCUUCAUAUUCGGCCUCUUUGUUCGACACCUGGAAUUUGAAACAAAGAUAAUACUCCAUCGCCACUUUUUUAGGGGUCGUAAGGACUAGUCAUGCUCUACAACCCUGUUGGUUGGACGAGCCAUCAACAUAUAGACUCCAUGAUGGGGCUAUUGGUUCUAUUUUCUGAGUUUCCGAGGGUAAUGAAACCAUUUCUUUAGGCGAAGAAACAAUGUUAACAGGAUAUGUGAAGUCGGUGAUGAAGUCUGCCACUGCUUGACUCUUCUCAGCUGGAUUUGGUUGGUAGGAGACGUCAAACUCACCCAAUGCUAUCGCCCAUUUGAUCAUUCUCCCGGAAGUGUCAGGACUUUAGAGUAUCUGUCGAAGAUGAUGAUUGGUAAGCAUGAUGAUAGAGUGUGCUUGGAAGUAAGGGCGAAGUUUUCAAGAAGACAUGACCAAAGCUAGAGCUAAUUUCUCAAUGUUGGAGUAUCGUGUCUCCGCAUCUUGUAAGGCUUUGCUAGCGUAGUAGACAUGCCGUUCGACAUUACCAUCCUUUCGAAUGAGAACAGAACUUACUGCUGAAGCUGAUACCGACAGAUAGAUAAUGAGAGUGUCACCAACCUCAGGUUUGGAGAGCAUAUGGGCUUUACUUAUGUAGUCUUUAAGGUUCUUGAAUGCCUCGGCACAUUCAUCAGUCCAUGUAAUGUACUUCUUACUUCCCUUAAGUGCUUUAAAGAAAGGAGUACAUAUGUCUGUGGCCUUAAAGAUGAACCUAGUUAAGGCUGCCACCUUGUCAGUAAGGCUCUGGAUGUCUUUAGAAGUUACCGGUUCUUUCAUGUCGAUGAUUGCUUUGAUUUUCUUAGGAUUAGCUUCAAUGCCUCGUUGGCUUAUCAUGAAGCCUAAGAAUUUACUAGAGCCUACGCCAAAGGCACAUUUAUUGGGGUUCAACCUCAUUCAAUACCUCUUCAGAAUGGUGAAAGUUUUAGAUAGGUUGGUGAUGUGUUGGUCAGCAUGUUUGCUCUUGACUAGCAUAUCAUUAACGUAAACUUCCAUGCUCUUCCCAAUCUGUUCGGCAAACAUUGAAUUGACCAGUCUCUGAUAAGUCGCUCAUGUAUUCUUUAGGACGAAGGGCAUGACUUUAUAAUAAUAUAGUCCCGUGUCAGUAGUGAAGGCUGUGUGUUCUUGGUCCGGAGGGUUUAUGAGGAUUUGGUUGUAUCCUAAGUAAGCAUCCAUGAAGCUAAGGAGUUCAUACCCUGCCAUAGAAUCUAUAAGUCUGUCUAUGAAAGGAAAAAGAAAGCUAUCAUUCGGGCAUCCUUUAUUUAGAUCGGUGUACUCGACACACAUUCUUCACAAGACCUUUUGGAGCAGGAGACUUUCCUUGGUCAGAUUCUUCUUAACAAAGACAACAUUUGCUACCCAUGUUGGAUAAUUGACUUCACGGACGAAGCUUAUGCCUUUGAGUUUUUCAACUUCUGCCUUUAUUGCCUCGUACUGUUCAGCGUCAUAAGAUCUUUGUUUUUGUUUCAUUGGCUUGGUCUUAGGGUUAAUACUUAAGUGAUGACAGAUGAUAUCGAGAGAGAUGCCUGGCAUGUCCUCGUAUGACCAGGCGAAGACCUCAGUGUUCUCUUGCAAAAAAGAGAUCAAUGCCAACUGAAUUGGUGGUGACAAGGUGGUGCCAAUCUUCACCAUGCGAUUCGGAUAAUCUUUUGAGACAGAGACCUUCUCUAACUCUUCAGCGGGUUGUGCUUGCCCGGUGAAAGAGUCAUCUCGAGGAUCGUCGGGUUGACUAUUGCCACCGUGAAGAUCCAAGUUAACUUAGUCUGGGUUGGUCUUUAUGACUUGGUCAUGUAUAGAAAGGGUUUUCUUGGGCAUAUACAUGUGAUGUUGCUUGACCGAAGUGUUGUAAUAUGAUCAUGCACUAAGUUAAUCUCCUCUGAUGUAACCAUUGCCAUAGGGGGUUGGAAAUUUCAUCAACAACAUAUGUGUGGAUACCAUAGCCUUGAGAUCAUUGAUGCUUGUGCGUCCGAAGAUGACAUUGUAUGUCGUUGGGUAAUCAACCACCAGGAAGUUAGUGGUAAUGGUAGCUGUGCAAGGGCCUGUACCAAUAGUGAAAAGUAAGUGUAUGCUCCCCAAAGGUUGCACGAUAUCACCGGAGAAACUUAUCAAAAGAGAAAUCGAGCGAUCGAGCAAGUGUUCAGCUACAUCAAGUGCCCUGAAAGCUUCAGCAAACAUAAUAUUGACUGAAGCCCCCAUGUCUACCAGGAUUCGUCGUACUUCAAAGUUGGCUAUGUGAGCUUCCACGAUCAGUGGGUCGUUGUGAGGGUAGAUGAUACCUUUUUCUUCCUCAGGAUAGAAACAUAUUGGAUCCCAGUUAGGCUUUUGAUACUUGCCUCCCCUGAUGUCUUCCACGUGAAACACUUGGUGGCCAGACCUUAAAGCUCGUUCAUUAUUUUUCAUGGCCCUGUUGGAAGAUUUAGAUAUGGGUGUGCCACCACUUAUGGAAUAUAUCACAUUCACCUGGCGUUGGUUACGGUUACCCCUUGGAGGGUGAAUGAGGAAUUGAUUAAUUUUUCCUUCACGUGCCAAAGCUUCAAUAUGAUCACGAAGGGUGAUACACUUCUUGCCGUCAUGGCCGUUAUGCUCGUGGUAGCAGCAAAAUGUGCCCGUGUUCUUCGUGGGCUUAUAACCUGACUGCCUCGACAUUGGCUUCGGUAUCAGGUGUGCUAUGCUGGGGUAAAUGGCCACACAUAUGGCGUUCAAAGGUGUGUAUGUCUCAUACCUCGGGGUAGGGCCUGUCCUAACAUGUGCUUGGCCUACUGUGUUGACUGCCUAGGGGUGGGCAUUAUCGUGGUGAUACCCUUGGUUAUAGCGAUAGUGUUUCUUACUCAUUUUAUUAAAAUGGGACUGGUGAGGAUGAAAAUAUUUCCUUUUGCCCUAAGAUUGAUAUGUCUGUUGACUUGGCGAAGUAUUAAGUAAGGCAGGAUGAGGCACUGCUACCGUUUGGAAGAUCGAGGUCUUCUCAUUUAGUUGGAUCUGGCUUCCACUCCCUACUUGCUGAUAAGGGGUGGCUGUGGGGGAUUUCCUUUGAUAUGUCCUUGCCUUAGCGGAGACAUGGUUGUAAGCCUGUGCCAUCACAUCAGAGUAAGUCUUCCAAGUGUUGGCAUUGAUCAUGUACUUGACGAAACAAUCACGUAGGCUUGUCGUGAAGGCUUUGAGGGCAGUUUUGUCGUCUGCCUCAGCACAACGGAAAUACUCAUGGCUGAAGUGGCCAGCAUACAUGCGUAAUGACUCGUCUGGCUUCUGGCAAAUAGUGUACAAGUCAUCCGCAUAGUGCAAGCGAUCGGUCUGAAAAAUGUGUUAAGAAACAAAUAGUUUCCUCAAUUCCUCAAAUGAGUCUACCAUCUCAGGUGGAAGACGGCAAUACCAGUUUAGAGCUCCGCCAGAGAGGGUGGAGGGGAAGAGAAACAUCGCUCUUCGUCAGUGUGCAUCCAGUAUGCCAUGGUGGACUCAAAGAGGUUAAGGUGUUCAAUCGGGUCCUCCCUUCCAGUAUAGAAUUGCAAGCCAAGCUUCUGCCUUGUCUUUGCUUGGAAGGGGUGUCGAGGAUCCUCCUUGUAAGAGGGCCAAGCCUAGGUUGGUUUCAAUCAGGUAUCUCAGCUUGUCGUUCGGCCUUCAACUUGUUUACUUCCUUAAGGAGCUGUAGGAUAAUAGGGUCCUGAGUGGAGUCAUGUACCACUGGAGUUUUCUUUCGUAAAUCUCCAUCUCCUCUUGGAAGUAGGAAGGUUUGAUCAAGAGCAUGUGAUUUUUCCCUGGACUCGCCCUACUGACUUCCAAGGUAUGUCUGUCGGAACAUCUCUGAGUCCCCUAUACCUUCGUGUUUCUCUAGGACUUGUUGUCCCUUCCCCAAAUUGGUAGCCGGCCUGGGACAUGGGAGGGGACCGAGUCUUUCAGAAACCCUUGGGUUAUUGAUUUUCGAGCUUACAUGGAUGAGAUUGUCUCGACGUUGCUUUAGAAAGUCUCGACAGUCGCGAUGGAUGAGAUUGUCUCGACGUUGCUUUAGAAAGUCUCGACAGUCGCGAAAGACGGUUUUCGAUCCUUCCACUCCUUCUGUAAGGAGGUGCCUUCCUCCACUCCUCUUGCUUUGGGUCGAAGCAGCUGGGUUGAGAGAAGUCUCAUAUUGGUCGCCAUUUCGAUGAGUAACUCGCUCCUCAACGGGAAUACCCAUGUCGAGGGCAAAUGACCUUCCGUGUUGGGGGGCACCCAAUUGAUCGUUGACUUCCACAUGGGUGAUGAGCUCGUGUGUUUUAAUAUAUCUAGCCUCGUGGAGCAUCUUGAAGACCUUUUCAUACUACUCUUGGAGGAUUUCAUUCUUCAUCGCUAUCUUAUUGUUCUGAGCCUCCAACUCAUCGACUUUAGCCUGAAGAGCAAACUUUUUUUGUUCAUUCUUUCGUUGCUUUGCACCAGGUGCAAGAGGGGUGUCAUUCUGUGUGUUGUGGCUUCCUUUACUCCCCAUGUUGGAAAGGGGUGCCUGAUCAAAAGAGAGUGUACGAAUGGUGGAAACUAGCUUAACAAAGCUGAAGAGAGUGGGAAUAAGUGUCAUUCCCACAUACGGCGUCAAAUGUUGAUGCAUAAAAUCAGUGAGGACUUUGGUUUAAUAGAAAUUGUUAAGUUUGUGACAUUCGCUAGAUUGCUCCGAUCACUAAUGUGGAUAAAUAUAUAAAUGGAUAAAGACAGGGAAGUAAACACAAGAUGUACGUGGUUCAUCCAGAUUGGCUAUGUCCACGGAGUAGAGGAGUUCUCAUUAAUUGUGAAAGAUUUACACAAGUACAUAGGUUCAAGCUCUCCUUUUGUGAGUAAAUGAUUUAGUACAAAUGACAUUAGGAAAUAUUGUGGGAGAAUGAUCUCCUUUUAUAAAAAAAAGUUUCUAGCUUUGUUUUGACAUUGACACAUGUCGUGUUGUGAUUGACUUCUGAUGUUGACAUGUGUCACUCUAUGAUUGGCUUCUGAUGUCAACACGUGUCGGGCUGUGAUUGGUCUCCUGGUUGGAGGGAAACUCUUUUGGGUCCUUGACGGUAUAACGUUGACCGGUGCUUAGUAAUUUCGGAUUUGGUCAAGUAUGGUACAAACAGUUUGAAUACCAUGUAAAUAGAUAUAUAAUCUGCAAGCUCUUGAAAUUAGUUGAAAAAUUAUUUGAAUUUGAUAACAUAUGUAUUUGCUGCUAUAAAACAUGGAAUUUGUGGCAGCUCUGAUCAUUAACCUUGAAAUCUUUGCUCUUCGUUUGCUUGCUUGCCAAAAACGUCCUCAAACAUUUAAUUGUGUGCCGCUUGGUGAUUGUUGGGUGGAUUAUUGUCACGCUCGCAUCAAUGUUGUGCGGUGCAUUUGUUGUCCUCCGCAAGUAAGUACCUUUUGUUAGCUUUUGUAGGAAGCACUUCUAAUUUAGAAGCUUGUACUCCAUGUGACUUUUUCCCUAUGUGGUGCUUAGUGCGGUUGGAAGAUGCAUGUGUUGCCACGGAUGAAUGGGUUCAGAACCCUAAACCUCAUAUUGCAUUAGACGAUAUACUCCCAUGUGGAGACAAUGCCCUGCCCAGGAGGCCGCACUACGUACCAAGGAUGCAGCCUUCGAGCUUGUUACUUUGUGUCUUUUUCAAGUCUGGUAAUAAGCGCUUUUAUUGCAAACACUUCUAAUAUAAUCAUGUUAAAUUUUAAUAAAAGUCCAAGUGUUUCCUAUUGCUUCUCAUAGAAAGUACUUUCAAUUCUAACUCGUGAGAAUGUUCAAGAGUUGUUAAAGGUCGAACUUGGCAUUGCUUUCUGCACAAGGCCUUAGGAAGUACUUCCAAAUGAUUUUAGCAAAAGCACUUACGAGUAAAAGUUUUCUAAAAAAAACAUUCCCCAAACGGCCUAAGACCGGCAUUUUUGUUCCAAGCAGGUAUGAAAAAAUAUGUUUGUGAGGUUUCAAAGGCUGGUACUUGUACAAAAUCCGGCAGCUGGUUGACUCCCACAUUGUAUGGACAAAUGGAAGCUGCAGCAAAUGUGAGCUACGUUCUCUACUGCUAUGAUAAAUUUGUUAGUUUAAGUGUUUUUAGCUGAAAUAAAACAUUUCAGUUUACCUGUUUUAAUUAUAGCCUUUGGAUUACAUUCCAAAUGGAUGCUCUAGAUUAAGUGAGAGUUAAUGAUAUAGAGUGACAACUGUAGCUAUCUCAUAGGAUAGAUGAAAUGAAUGGUUGUGAUGUAUUUUCUCUGAUAUGAGAGAGAAAUGUGCUAAUGCUUUGUAAUGUGAGUGCUUUCGGUAAUGUCCAUUGGAUUGCCAGAAAGAAGAGAAAUGAAACUUCUUGUUCACUCAUCUUAGUGAAUACUCUCUGCAACUCUUUGUUUUCUUUUAUACAAGAAAGCUUCCAAAACAGCAUCAAAUCUAUAAACUAACAUGGCCUCAGAGCCAGGUUGCAUCCUCUGCAACUGGGCGUGAAUCUGUGAAGCUCACAGUGAAGAGCUCGAACUGACCGUUGAGUUCUCACUAAAGAAAACGCGGAGAAGAAAGUGUAGUGAUCUUAGAUCUCGUCUCACAUGGCUGGAUCGAGUGGAGCUGAUCUUCGUGCACCGGUUUUCAAUGGUGAAAACUUUGAUUUCUGGCAGAUUUGGAUGAAGACAAUAUUCCGAUCGCACGAGCUAUGGGAUAUCGUCGAAAAUGGUGUCGAAACUUCGACGAAGAAGGAUGAAGAACUUACUGUAGCUGAAAGCAAGUUAUUGAAGGAGAAUAUAGUCAGAGAUGCGAAGGCACUUGGAAUCAUUCAAGGCGCGGUUUCGGAUCAGAUCUUUCCGAGAAUCGCAAUCCAAGAGACUGCAAAUGCUGCUUGGAAUGUGCUGAAACAAGAAUUUGUGGGAGAUAAACAGGUACGGGCUGUGAAACUCCAAGGCUUACGCCGGGAUUUUGAAUAUACUAGAAUGGGUGAAAAUGAAGCUUUCUCUGCAUAUCUAGUUAGGUUAUUUGAUUUGAUUAGUCAAAUGAGAAGCUAUGGUGAGGAGAUAAGUAAUCAGAGAAUCGUUCAAAAGUUGCUAAUAAGUUUACCUAGGUCCUAUGAUAGUAUUGCUUCUGUGAUUGAAAAUACUAAGGAUCUAGAUAUUGUUGAUGUUCAAGAUGUGGUAGCUAUUCUCAAAGGUUAUGAGCAAAGAAUUGAUCGGCAUGAUGAAUCUCAUACUGAGAAAGCAUUUGUUAGUCUCAGUAUUGCUCCAAAACAGAAUAAGUACAAUGGGAAUCAAGGGUUCAAACCACAGAAGAAUUGGAAGUCUAAAUGGAAGAAAGGAGAUCAUAGACCUGCAAAUCAAACUGGAAAAGUUGCAGGUACUUCUGAAUGAGCUAAGAAUCCCUGUAUUCAUUGUGAUAAAUUGCAUUUUGGUGAAUGUUGGUUCAAAGAUAAACCAAGGUGUCAUAGUUGUCAUAAGUUGGGGCAUAUUGCAAGAGAUUGCCGAGUCAAGAAGGAGAAGACUAAUCAACAUGUGAAUUUUGUUAAUCAAGUCAAUGAUACUCCUACCAUGUUCUAUGUCUGCAAUAAUGUUAAUGUGAAGAAAAAUGAAGAUAUAUGGUAUGUAGACAGUGGUUGUAGUAACCAUAUGACUGGAAGGGAGGAGUUACUGAUUGACAUUGAUAGAAAUAUGACUGCUAAGGUAGAGAUGGGUACAGGACAGCUCAUUGAAGUCACAGGGAAAGGAAGUUUAGUAGUUGAUACCAAAAUGGGAAGGAGAUAUAUCAAAGAAGUGAUGUUAAUUCCAGGGUUAAAAGAAAAUUUGCUCAGUGUAGGGCAAAUGAUGGAACACGGUUACUUUCUAGUGUUUGGAGGUACAACUGCAGAGAUAUAUGAUGAUAGUUCAAUGUCUAAUCUGAUAGCUAGAAUACCAAUGAAGGGAAAUAGAAGUUUUCCUUUGAGACUUAUACCUGAGAUGCAGGUUGCUCUAAAGACUAGUGUGUUUCAGUCUUCUAAAAUCUGGCAUAGGAGGUUAGGACAUUUGAAUUUGAGCAGUUUGAAACAACUCAAAGAGCAUGAUAUGGUGUUGGGUUUGCCGGAUCUUGAAAUGACAAAUGAGAUAUGUGAAGGGUGUGCUUUUGGGAAGCAUUGCAGAGAUGCAUUUCCAAAGGAAGCAUCAUGGAGGGCCACACAACCUCUUGAACUCAUUCACUCUGACAUUUGUGGACCCAUGCAGAUUUCUACAAAGGCUGGAAAUAAGUAUUUUCUCACCUUCAUAGAUGACUGCACUCGGAUGUGUUGAGUUUACUUCUUAAGGAACAAGUCAGAGGUGUUUAGUGUAUUCAAGAAAUUCAAGCUCACAGUUGAAUUGCAAAGUGGAUAUAAAUUGAAGAAGUUGAGAAGUGACAGAGGAGGAGAAUAUGUAUCUGUUGAAUUCAGGGAAUUUUGUGAAGAAAUGGGCAUGGAAAGACAGUUUACAGUGGGAUACACACCUCAGCAGAAUGGAGUAGCUGAGAGGAAGAAUAGAACCAUAGUUGAGAUGUCAAAGUGUAUGAUGAUUGAAAAGGGUGUCCCAUUUGAAUUCUGGGCAGAAGCUGUUAAUACAUCAGUGUAUAUUUUUGAACAGAUGUCCUACCAAGUCUCUUGAUAAGAAGACUCCUUUCGAGGCAUAUAGUGGAAGAAAACCAGGGAUCAAACACUUAAAGAUUUUUGGUUCUGUGUGUUAUGCAUACAUUCCAAGACAGGUUAGACAGAAAUUGGAUGAAACAAGUACAAAAUGCAUAUUUUUGGGAUAUGGCACAUGUGAGAAAGGGUAUAGACUCUAUGAUCCUAUCUCAAAGAAAAUAAUUGUGUCAAGAGAUGUAAUAGUCAAUGAAAAUGCUUGCUGGGAUUGGGAGUCACAAUCUGAGAAAAUCAUCAGUGUAUCCAUACCUGAAAAGAAAUUGUGUGAACAAAUUGUGGAAGGAAAUUCAAGUGAUAAGAGUGAUGAAAAUGAUGAAUUCUUAGCAUCUUCAUCUGAAGCAAAUGAGUCAAUUGAAAAUGAUUCAAGACUGGUGCAAAUGCAGAGUAACACAGGUCCUCAAGACUAUGAUCAUACUCCUUUGAAGUUCAAAAGUUUGACAGAAUAUAUGCAAAAUGCAAUCUGUGCAUUAUUGAGCCUGAGAACUUUGAGGAAGCAGUAAAAGAUGAAUCAUGGCAGAAGGCAAUGGAAGCAGAAAUAGGCAUGAUAGAGAAGAAUUGCACCUGGGAACUUGUUGAUAGACCAUUUGAUAAGCCGGUUGUGGGUGUCAAGUGGAUCUAUAAAACAAAAUUGAACCUAGAUGGGUCUAUACAGAAGAAUAAGGCAAGGUUAGUGGCUAAGGGAUACUCUCAAAAGCCUGGAAUCGAUUUCAAUGAGACAUUUGCUCCUGUGGCAAGGCUUGACACUAUUAGAACUUUAAUUGGGCUUGCUGCACAUAAAGGAUGGAAGCUUUUCCAACUUGAUGUGAAGUCUGCAUUUCUGAAUGGAGUUCUAAAUGAGGAAGUAUAUGUAGACCAACCACUUGGCUUUGUGAUUAGAGGCAAGGAAGACAAGGUUUACAAGCUCAAGAAAGCUUUGUAUGGGUUGAAACAGGCACCAAGGGCCUGGUACAAAGAAAUUGAUUCUCAUUUCUGCAACUCUGGUUUUCACAGAAGUCCAAGUGAAGCAACUCUCUACAUCAAAGCAACUGAGGCAGGAAUACUUAUUGUUUCUCUGUAUGUAGAUGACAUCAUAUACACAGGAAGUUCAGCUGCAUUGAUGAAUGAGUUUAAAACAGAAAUGAUGGGAAAGUAUGAAAUGUCUGAUUUGGGACUAUUGCAUCAUUUCUUGGGGCUUGGAGUCAUUCAAACUGAGAGUUGUAUUUUUCUGCAUCAAAAGAAAUAUGCAAGGACUCUGUUAGAGAAAUUCGGAUUGAAAGAAUGCAAACCUGUUGCAACUCCACUUGCAACAAAUGAAAGAUUAAGCAAAGAAGAUGGAAGUGAAAUAGUUGAUGAAAGUCUUUACAGGCAGAUAGUUGGUAGUUUGUUAUACUUAACAGCUACAAGACCUGAUAUCAUGUUUGCUGCAAGUCUACUUGCUCGGUUCAUGCAUAAUCCAACCAGGAAACAUAUGGGAACUGCAAAGAGAGUGCUAAGAUAUAUUCAAGGCACACUGGACUAUGGAAUUGCAUAUGAAAAAGGCAAGGAUGAUGUGCUUAUUGGAUACUGUGAUAGUGAUUGGGCAGGAAGUGAAGAUGACAUGAAGAGCACCUCCGGAUAUGCUUUUAGUUUUGGUUCUGGAGCAUUUUCUUGGGCCUCAAUCAAACAAAGCAGUGUAGCUUUGUCCACUGCAGAGGCAGAGUAUGUUAGUGCUGCAGAGGCAACUGCACAAGCCAUCUGGUUAAGGUUUGUCUUAUCAGAUUUUGGAGAGGAACAAGUGGAACCUACUCAAAUUCUAUGCGAUAACACUUCAGCUAUUGCAAUCUCUAAGAAUCCAGUGGCUCAUCAUAAGACAAGACACAUAAACAGAAAAUUCCAUUUCAUCCGAGAUGCACUGCAGAAUGGUGAAAUUGAUCUGAUUUACUGCAAAACUGAAGAACAAGUUGCAGAUAUCUUUACAAAAGCAUUGGCAAGAGAUAAAUUUGAGUAUUUGAGGAAGGCUUUAGGAGUGAUUUCAGCUAAACACUUAGAAGGGAGUGUUAGUGUUUAAGUGUUUUUAGCUGAAAUAAAACAUUUCAGUUUACCUGUUUUAAUUAUAGCCUUUGGAUUACAUUCCAAAUGGAUGCUCUAGAUUAAGUGAGAGUUAAUGAUAUAGAGUGACAACUGUAGCUAUCUCAUAGGAUAGAUGAAAUGAAUGGUUGUGAUGUAUUUUCUCUGAUAUGAGAGAGAAAUGUGCUAAUGCUCUGUAAUGUGAGUGCUUUCGGUAAUGUCCAUUGGAUUGCCAGAAAGAAGAGAAAUGAAACUUCUUGUUCACUCAUCUAGUGAAUACUCUCUGCAACUCUUUGUUUUCUUUUAUACAAGAAAGCUUCCAAAACAGCAUCAAAUCUAUAAACUAACAAAAUUCUCGACGAAUCUGCAAACCUGCAGAUUUGUUAUGGUUGCAUUCAGAGACAUAAGUAGUGGGGAGUGUCAUGGUUUGGAAAAGCACAGCAGCUGGAUUUGCAAUUGGGUUGGCAAUGGUGUCUGCAGCUCUUGAGGUCUUCUGGCUUAUCUACGGGAGGGAAAGAAAGCAAUGUCUUUACAUCAAAUCAAAAACUGCUUUCUGAAGAGAGCCAAAGGGAAUUCCAAGACAAGGAGGGUGGUUAUUUAAACAUUUUCGUGUGUAAUUAAGCAUCUAAUUAGUUUUCUAAAUCUGUUUGUUUUUUUUCGUUUUUUCAAGUAAAUUUGAGUGAUUUUAUCUUUAAGUUCUGUUUUUGUACAUUAUGCUAGUUAUCUUAAGAUUUGAUUAGUGUAUUAUGUAGUAGUCCCGUGUUCUUUUUGACACAAACAAUAUUAGAAAGAUAAUUGAACUCAAAACUUCAUGUAUAGCAAUCAAUUAUUAUUGCUCAAAACUCUCAAUGAGCUAAAUAUUCUACAUUAAUGUCACUUUUAGAAGAAAAAUGAGAUACAUAAACUUGUAAUUUUAAGGUGAUGGAUCAAAAGCUAAAGAACUUCUUAAGUUCAAAUAUGCAUUUAGUAAAAUGAUUUUCGCAUAUUACCCUCUUGCACUUCUUCAUUUUUUAUGUCUUCGACUUUUUGUUUAAUUUAUUUAGUCUAACAGCUAGUAAUUAAAAUUAUUUUCAAAUUCAAAAGAAAAUAGCAUGGUGCAUGCGUCCUACCAGCCUCAACAUAUGCUCUCUAUCUUGUAACCAUCAAAGUUUGCAUACUAAUUGCUGCGGCAGAAUGCAGAGUCAUAAUUCGUCCUCGAAUGGCACAACUAGAGAGAUAGAAGAUUUGGUACCAAGUCCAAGGGUUGAUUCAGACAUGUAUUCGGUCAUAAGAAAAUUUUCAAUGUACCGAGAAUACAACUUGAUACAUUAAGUGUUAUAAAAUAAUUGUUUAAAAAUUUAUUUUAAGUAUCUACUUAAUUGUUUUGUGUCACUUGAUAUUUCGGUAUAUAUUUAUGGUAAACCGAAAAGUCUAUCUCAGUCAUGGGGUUUCUGUAGAAUGCAGAUUUCCCAAAGUCCACGGAUUCUGACAUGUUUUGGUUAUGGCCACACCGACGUAAACUUUAUUUUGAUGAAACACAUUAUAAUUGGGGUUUAGAAGAAGAAAAACAAGAAGUAAAGAAGUACUAGUUUUUCUUGGCGAUGGCUUCUUCGUCUCUUCACCAAGCAACGGAAACCGGAAAUGCAAGCUCCCUACUUACUUUCCAACCCGAAACUCAAAGCUCCGGCGAUGGCAUUGAGCUGUUAGCAUGCCCUGUGUGCUACGAACCGCUCAUCCGAAAAGGCCCCCCCGGUCUCAACCUGUAAGUAGUACUUCUCCAUCUGACUUCAUUAACAUCGUAACUGUACCAUUUUGUAAUUUGUUUGUGUUUUUGUAGGCAAGCAAUAUUUAGGUCGGCUUUCGAGUGCAAGAUAUGCCACAAGUUGUAUAACAGCAGUAGUAAGAGCAAAGAGAAAGACAUUUACCUGGAUCUUACUGUUAGCGGUGGAUUGAGGGAGUACAUUGCGCCCAUUCCAGCCGGGACUGACUUCUUCAGAUAUCGCCUCGUUUCCUUCUUGUACGAAAGAGGUUGGCGUCAGUAUUUUGGCCAAAGCGGCUUCCCUGGACCUGAUCAAGAGGUACGCAAUGCGCGCUAUACAUAAGAGUACUCUCUACAUGCACUACGUUCGUAAUACACUUGUUAAUUAUGUCCUCCGUACAUACGCAGUUUAAAAUGGCUAUGGACUACUUUCAAUCCGCUACUGAUCAAGGUGAAGGUGGCGGUAGUGGUGGUGUAGUUGUGGAUGUAAGCUGUGGGAGCGGUUUAUUUUCCAGAAGAUUUGCCAAAUCCGGGGUCUUUGCUGGAGUAGUGGCGCUCGAUUUUUCUGAGAGUAUGCUUCGCCAGUGUUACAAUUUUCUGAAGGCAGAUCCUGCUUCCCUUUUUGCUACGUACGUAUGCUCUUGCUCAACCUAAAAUAAAAAUCCCAUGUAUUUCAAAUUUGUACUCUCAGACAUGAUUAAUUGGAACAAAUUUAUAUGUAGCAAUCUUGGUCUCGUGAGGGCAGAUGUUUCUAGGCUUCCAUUUGCAUCAGGUUCUGUUGAUGCUGUCCACGCCGGCGCUGCAUUGCAUUGCUGGCCGUCUCCAUCCAACGCCGUAAGUGUGUUACUCGCCGGCGGCCAACUGGCUAGCUAGCAUUUAAUUAUGUUUACUCGAAUUUUUUUUUUUUGUUACAAUUCAGAAUUUUACAUGAACUCUCAUGGUCAUGUAAAUACGGAACUAGUCGAUCUCCACCCUAAAUUUAUUACGGGAAAGUACUUGGCUCUUUACGUGUGAUGAGUAAUUCGACCUGGCAGACAAAUCGGAGUCCCUCAUUCCUGAUAAUUAAUUUGUUGUUUUUUAGGUUGCUGAAAUCACUCGUAUAUUACGCAGUGGCGCCAUCUUUGUGGGAACGACUUUUCUGCGUUCUAGUCCUUAUACUCCAUGGAUAUUCAAGCCUUUUAGGGAGGUAUACUAAUUACUAACUGUAACUUAUUCUCACUAAUUCAAUGAUUAACGUAUCUGAUCAAGAUGUUUAAUAUAUAUGUGAUGAACAGAAGAUGUCACGGAGCUCCAAUAGCUAUUUAACGGAGAGAGAGAUUGAGGACUUGUGUAGAUCAUGCGGUCUCACCAACUACUCGAGCAAAGUUCAGCAAUCCUUCAUCAUGUUUUCUGCUCGGAAACCGGCUGUGUAGCAAACAGCGUGCGGGCCAUCAUUAUAGACCACGCAAGAAGUCUUGUAACUCAAAUAGUUAAAAUAGAGAUCACAACAAAGUUCGAAUGCUACUAUUGAUACAAAGAACCACUCUUUCUUAGUUGAUCCAAUUCGUAAAUUUGAAAGUAUUGAAUUAUAAAUUUUAAGAUGGAUCUACAUAGAUAUUUUGGAUUCUGUGUUUUUUUGCAAAGAAAUAAUCUCUUUCCUCUCAUAUUCAACAAAUUUGGGAGGUCUUGUACACUCCUUUUAGGACUACAUCUUCUCAAUCCUCGAUAUCUUCUGUUUUUUGUACGUAAGGAGUAGAUCAGGUAGUUGAGAAACAAGAAAAACUAGAUUUUCCAAAUAAUGGUAAUUUCCUUAGGAAUCUAUUUCAUACGUUUGUAUAUAGCAGGCAAGAGAUUACAUUGAAUUAUUAUGUGUAGUUAAAAAUUUGGGAAGAAAAACCGAGUUUCUAGGACGAGCACGUAAUUUUGUGCGGGGUUAAAAUGUGAGGCGUGAGAGUAGUAUUAAAAAAAUUAUGUUGAAUGUAUUAGGAUAAGUUUGGUUUGAAAGUGACGUCGUAUACUAUUGCCUCCGUGUCUCUUUCUCCGCCAAAUUUUUGCUGUUUCAACUCUCACUCUCCGCCAAUUUCAAAAGAAGAAGCAGCAGCGGCAGAGAUCAAAAUCUCCAAUGGCGACGACACCCUCCUCCUCCACUCUCCACCCUCUCCACCAAACAUUUCUAUCCCUAAGCUACCCUCCCCUCCAUCACAAUACUCAAUUCCGCCCUCCCCAUCUCUGCCUCACCUCCCGCCAUUCCUCCCACCCCAUUCGCGCCACCUCUACCGUCACUCUCCAACCGGUACCGCCUCAUUCUCCCCCCUCUCCCCAAUUUACGCUUCCACUUUCCCUUUAAAUUUCAAAGUUCUGAUUUUGCAGGAGCGGCGGUCGACCGCCGAGGAAGGUCAAAGCUCCGGCGUUGACCUCGAGCUGCUAGCCUGCCCAGUAUGCUACGAGCCGCUCAUCCGGAAAGGCCCGCCGGGUCUCAACCUGUGAGUAAAAAUACGACACAAAGCCUCAGUCUUUUGCUUGAAAUCGGUGUCGUAAAUGUUUCAAUUUUGUUUUGUGGUUUGCAAAUUGUGCAGGCGAGCAAUUUACAGGUCGGGGUUCAAGUGCAGGAAAUGCGACAAGUCGUAUUCAAGCAAAGACAUUUACUUGGACCUUACUGUUACUGCUGGGUUGAAGGAGUACGUUGAGGUAAAACCGGCCGGGACCGAGUUGUUCCGGAGCCCUAUUGUUUCCUUCUUGUAUGAAAGGGGUUGGCGCCAGAAUUUUAACCGCAGGGGAUUUCCGGGUCCCGAUGAAGAGGUCAAUCAGUAAAUGUGGUUUCUUUUUCUGCGCGGUUUUUGGUGAAUUAGGUUUGUUUUCUUGCUUAAUUUUGAGUUUUGGAUUGCUUAGCAAGUUUAGAUUCUUAUGUGGUUUGCAGUUUAAGAUGGCUCAGGACUACUUUAAAUCCGCCGAAGGCGGUGUUUUGGUGGAUGUGAGCUGUGGCAGCGGCUUGUUUUCGAGGAAGUUUGCGAAAUCGGGGACAUAUUCUGGAGUUGUUGCACUUGAUUUUUCGGAGAACAUGCUUCGGCAGAGUUAUGAAUUUUUUAAGAGAGAUCCUACUCUUUUAGAUACGUAAGUUUGUGUCUGUUCUUCUGAGUGAUCAAUGUUUAUAAGUAAAAUGAGAUGUUUAUCCUUAAAGUUCACUGGAAUAAGUGCAGUAAUCUUGCCCUUGUGAGGGCGGAUGUUGCUAGGCUUCCGUUCCCUUCGGGUUCAGUUGAUGCUGUCCAUGCUGGCGCAGCAUUACAUUGUUGGCCUUCUCCUUCCAAUGCCGUGAGUUCUGUUUCCUGUGUUUUUCUUCUCCUUCAAGUUACUAAGCGCUUAGGAUUGUAUGUCUAUUAAGAGUGGUUGGGUUUGGAUGGUUUAAGACCAGCAAGAUUAGGAUUGUAUCUCUUCCAUUAAUUUUGACUUUCCCUGCUGUUUCCAGAUUCCCCAAAACAAUUUUGUUUUGUGCGUCAAAACAAAUGUGUUGGCUGCGUACCUUUUAUGGUAUUGGAGGUGCUAGUAUGUGAAGUCAGAGGAUGAACUGCGUAGUGUCUAACGCAAGUCGCCUGCUAUUUUGGUAACUUGUGAGAAUUUCACGGUGAAAGGCACCAUAUGGGGAAUUAAUCUUUGAACCAUUGAAAUCUGGACUGAUUGGUAAUUAGGAAUAUGAGAUGAAAUGUGAAAUAGCGAGUAAAACUUAGAGGUGAGUAAACACCAUGGCUCCUUACAAGUGACCAAAAGAAGUAGGCAUCUUAUGGUGCCAUGGUGUGUGAGAAAUAGAUGGAUGAUACCUUUUGAGAAUUCCAGCAUGUUAUAAAAUAGACCCUGAUAAGUUUCUUCUGUUCUUUCCGGAAAUUGCUCACGUCAGACCCGAGGGUGUUGUCUUAGUAGCUCUUCAACUUGGGUUUGGACACCAAUUUUGAAUGCUAAUGCAAAACCCUUUAUUAUUGCGUGGAGUGUUUUGGAUGGGGGACUAUGCUUGCUAGGAGAUUAGCUGAGUAAUCUAACAGGCUAGUGGCAGUACAUACCUGGUCAGCAAGGAAGAGAGAGCAGGUAGUGAUUAACGAACCUAACAAUCUUAGUUAUACUGUAUGUGGGUCAAUUAGAAUCAGAAAUCUAACCUUUAGGUAAAAGAUUUCAGCUUUUGUGGAAUUACAAACUUUCUAUUAAUGCACAUGCCAUAGUGUGUGCCCCAUUGCAGAGUUAGUUCACAUGGAACACACUGCAGUUUUCGAUAGAAGAAAGAUAGUACUCCACAAAUUCUGGUGUUCUCGUCUUUGGCUCCCAUAUUAGAUACAUCUUUUCGGGUGUAAUUAAUGAAAUUAGCUCUCGGGUGGUUUGCUUAUAGCACCUGUUCUCUGGUAGACCUCUAUUUGUUGCAUCUGAAAGUCAUACACUGUCGAAUCUUGUAAAAUUUUCUUUGUUUUACUCCAUGCAGAUGUGUUUGGAUGCAACAAAGCUUCUAUUAAUUUUGAACUCAUAUCUCAUUUAAUUUUCAGAUUGCUGAAAUAACUCGCAUAUUACGAAGUGGUGCUGUCUUUGUCGGAACCACUUUUCUGCGGUAUACUCCAUCUACUUCCUGGAUACCCCGGCAACUCAUAGAGGUAAUACUUAAUCAAUGAUUACCAAAUGUGAUCAAUGCUAGAUUUGGGUCAGACCUGUCAAUUUUCUAUCUGUAUAUGCCAGUCAUAGAAUGUGUGUUCAAAACAACAAUUGCGUAAUAUCCACAUUUCUUUUCUAGUUCCAUAUAAAUUGUCGUGAAUGAAGGAAACCUAAUCGUUACUGUGGUCCAAAUAGUUGAAUUUUCGUGAGAGACGACUCACUAGCAGUAGCCAGCUAGGAUCUGUUUAAGGGUGAUUAUAAACUUAAACAAGUGUUAAUAUGAAGGUGUUAAUAUGGCAGAGGGCUCGUCAGAGCUAUAACUAUUUAACGGAGGAGGAGAUUGCAGACUUGUGUACAUCAUGCGGUCUCACCAACUACACGAGCAACGUUCAACAAUCCUUCAUCAUGUUUUCUGCUCAGAAACCUUAAGAGUUGAGACUAGGUUUGAGCCAUUCGAAUAUCAUUUCUCCGUGCAUGUAUUUACCAUAUUUCUUGAUGAUUUGUUGUAUAGUGUAUUUAUAUGUAAGUACAUAUAAACUUUUGAAAAGAAGAAUACAAAAACCUGAAAAGGUGGAUAAUCUGGGGAAGAUGUAAAGUAUUCAUUGUUAAUGAUAAGUAUUUAAUUAACUGUAUAAAGAAUGAUAGCAGUGCCUAACAUUAUCAAUAACUCUAUUAAUUAGUGGUUUCUGAUUAGUAAUGACAGAUUAACGGCCAUUUUAAUCUUAAUUAGGCUGUGUUGAUUAUGGCAUAAAGGUGUCUCGCACAGUUAAUAAACAACUCCCUCAUAAGCAGACUGUACCAGUAUAUGGUUUUACUCGUACAGCUGCUAUUACCUAGGCUACCACUAUAUCACUGUAUCACAUAACAAGAACAAUAAAAUAUGCACGAAGAAGAAGAAUAUAAACAUUACUCCAUUUGAUAAUUACCAGAAGACUUGAACCCAAUUUACUUGAGCAUUUGUGUUUAUGACAAGAUUCGACCUAUAAAUUUGAAUUUUUCUAAAACCGAUGAAAAUGUUACUUUUUACUUUCACAGAACUAGAACAUGAAAAUCUUCGAUCAAGCUGCUGACAACGUGUCUUGUCCAACGAACCACACAAACAAAUACAAUCCCCUUCAUUUUAGUUUCAUCUGGCUCGACACUGAUCAUGUCCCUAUGCGAGAGUUGCUCUAUGCAAAAGCCCUACUCAAAAUUUCUCCUCGAAUAAAACUAGUACUGUAGUACAUCAUGGUGUAUUGUAGCUAGGGCUGGCCCUGAGGGUAGCCGAGGUAGGCGGUUGCCUAGGGCCCCCAAGUUCGGGGGAGGGGGGGGGGCAAAUUUUUUUAUACAUCCUGUAUAUAAAAUAUAAAUAAAGAAAACGUAAGAACAUCACAGUUAUUUCAUUGGUGCAGUGGAAACGGUUCCACUCCGUUUUCAUUGGGGUGGGAAGUUCAAAACACCUUGUAGACAAUAGUUUUUGUUUUUUUUCAAAUCUAUGAAAUUAAAGAUAAAUUGCUCUUUAAAAUUUUUAAAAUUACAAGAAUAAAAAAGAGUUAAAAUAAUUCAACAAAUAUUAAUUUUGAAUGAAUUUAAAAUUUUCAACUUGAGAAAAAAAAUAACAAAACCUCUGGGUGGUUUUUGUUUAAAUUCUUAUUUAUUUUAAAAAAUAUUUUAAAUUUAAAUUGUAUAAAUAGAAAAAAAUUGAGUUUCUUAAAUAAAAAAUAUACAAAGGCCAAUUGUCACAUAGAGGCUAGUGAAAUUAAUGGCCUCAAUCUGUCCAAAUGCAAUUUUUUUUUCUUUUGCUUUUGAAAAUAACCUAAAAAAUUAACAAAAACCAAAAUAAUCAUAACUUUGUAAUCAUUUUUCUUUCAACUUCCCAGUCUUUCUGUCACUUGGUCCUGAAGAUUGUAAUUUGAGGUAACCAUAACUUUGAAUUAAAUUUUUUUUUCAAUAAUUUAUUGUUAAACUAGGUUAUUCUAAAAUUUGAUUCGCUAGUGUGUGUUGAUUUUAGAAAGAACACAAGAGAACCACUUGGCAUUGUCGAAUUAUUAUAUUUGUCAAUCAAGUUUUAUUGUUUUUACUCUCUUGAUCAUCAAGUUGUAUUGCUCUUCACUCUCAAUCUGGUUUGGUAUUGCUGCGCUUUGAAAAAAAAAAACCGUUUCUGUUGUGCUAUGAGAAUAAGUUCAUUUUUGCUGCUUCACUUUUUCAGCUUAUUUUCACCCAAAACUAUGAAAAUAAGUUGUUUUAAGUGUUUACCAAACACUUUUUUGAACUCAGUUUUUUUUUUUUCACUACAACAAAACAUUAUAUUUACCACAACAAUUUUAUCACGAGUUUUAGGGGCUCAUGGUAGAAAGGAAUUGAUUAUCACGGUCAAAGUCGGCCCAUGGUAGAUAUGAUUAAUUCACCACGGUCAUAUUAGCGCUCGUUGUUGAAAUUAAAAAUCACCACGUGUAGUGCUUGUGGUCAUUAUCUAAAACCACCACACCGCCUUUCUAAAUUUCACCACAUAUCUUGACCGUGGUUGAUAUUUUUAAUGAUUUUUUAUUUCGUUUUUUUUUGUUAGCGCCUUGAUAAUAUUUGGGGAUAUCUACAACCAACUGAAAAUAGAAGACAAGAGUUAGCAAGGGUAUUACUGUAAACAAAUAUAAAACAACGACUAUCAAAAUCAGAAUAAAAAUCGAACGUGAAGAACCCACUGUAGAGGAAAAGAAACUACUCGUACUCCACGUUCUGCUGUAAAACUACCAACCACCCUCAUCUUAUAUAAUUGAAAAAUUAGUGCAUGGUUUUUCAUUCCACACCAUGGAUACAAGUGAAUCACAACAAAAUCUAAAAGGAUGGUGAAGACGAGGCAGAGUCUUGCAUGGGUCUUUUGUCACCAUUUUCAGAGGUAUAUUAGGGGUGGUUUGGGAGUGAGGUGCUUAAAAAAAAAAAGCACCCAUGAAAAAAAAUUGUGAGGGUUUUAGGUGUUUGGUAAACUAAAAAAAAAUGGCUUAUUUUGGAAGCUGCUGUGAGAAUAAGCUGAAAUCAAAGGAAAAAGCUGAAGCAGCUAUUUGCAGCUUUGGAAAACUGGCUUUUUUUCAAAGCACACGGAGCUAUAGUGCUCAUUUAAUGAAAAGACCCACUAUCAGACUGUUUUUUUUUUCCAAAAGCACUUUUACAAAAAAGUUUACCAAACACUCUGCUGAUUUAUUUCACAGCCGCUUAUUCUCACAGCAGCUUUUUUUCAAAGCACAGCAAUACCAAACCAACCUUUACUCUCUUUCUUUUCUCCUUCUCACACUUACACUUUCUGAUAUAUUUUCCUCCUAUUAAAAUUGGUGCCUUUUUCACCUUUCAUUGAAUACUUUAUGAUGAAGUUACAUUGGUCAUUUCUUAAUUGCUUCAAUUAAACUGGUAUUAGUUAUUUUGUGCUCGUGGGGUUUGUGCUAGGGGAGGUUGGCCGAGGCAGAGCAAGUUGGGUUGUAUCGUGUGACUGUGAGGGAUGGAGAGGUUGGCCAUGAGACGAGGGUUUUAUAGUGUGAAAAAGGCACGAGAGAGAGAGAGAGAGAGAGAGAGAGAGAGAGAGAGAGAGAGAGAGAGAGAGAGAGAGAGAGUCAAUGAUUGUCAAUGAUUGUUUAGGAUAAAUUAAUCUAUAAAUUAAAGAGUUAAUGACUGGAACAUUUGAAGGGACCUUGAAUAUCUAUACUUUUGGCUCAUCAUUCUAUUUUUUCCAAUUUCUUUCUCGCCUAAUGAGUAGCCUAUUUGAUUGUAUUAACUCUUAUGAGUAGCCUAUUUGAUUGUAUUAGCUCUUACUUUGACAUUUUUUAUUUGUCAUUGCUGAUAAUUUAUAUAACAUGGUUUAUCUUCCUAACAUUGUCUCAAGGUCCUUUGUUUGAAGGUGUUCAAAGAAAUGUGAAGUCUUCAAAGUGACAAUGUCCUUGUUUGUUGGAGGUCUUUGGAUAGUUUGGUAUUUCUUUGUAUAUUUCAUCGUUUUUUUGUUAGCUUUAGUUUAGUGUACAACUGUAAUGUUUGAAUCUAUGAUUUUUUUAUUGUUAUUUUGUAGUAAAUGUGUAAUUUUGUUUCUAAAUAUUAUAUAAUACAUUUAUUAAACAAUAUUUUAUUAUUGUUAUUUUUUUUUGGAUUUUUUUUUAUAAUGGCCAUUAGCCGUGACCAAUUUGUAAUCCACAACGGUUAUAGUGCAUGUGGUGUUAGAUCAUAAUCUAUAACGGGCACAAUCUGUGGUAAUAUUACAAUUGACAACGGGCAUGACCCGUGGUAGAAUCUAUGACUUUCUAUCACAUCCAUAUUACUAACGGGCACAGUGUCCGUGGUGGAUUGCAAUCUACCACAGACAUCGACCGUGAUAGAUGAGUUUUUUUCUACUAGUGUUUAUACCCACUUUUUAUAAAACACCUCAGUACCAAAACAGUACUUGGACUCUUGAUUGCAAACACUUAGUGCAUUUGUGUCUAAAGAUAUGUGACAUGUAAUAUUAAGUAAUGUUAGUAUAUCUUUUUUAUUUUGAUAUUAAUUUUUAAUAAUAUUCGAUGAAGAAAUAGAUUUUUUAUGUAAUUAAUGAAUUCUUUUUACUACAUACCAAUAUGCAAGGAGUCGGAGGUACGAGAACUUUAGGGCUUCACUUUGAAGACUUGUCUAGGGCCCCUAAAUUCUCAAAGUCGGCCCUGAUUGUAGCCUUGGACUCACAAGAUCUUGACUCUUGAGGGUUUAUUGUUUGGGAAAAAGGCUCCCCAUGUGAGAUGUAUACCUUAAAAAUAAGGGCAUGAAUAUAUAAUAGGGUAUGGUGAAGUGGCCGGGCUAAUAAAUAAAGAAAACCCUUUUCAAACAAAGCAAAUGGAACUAACUCAGACCACACACAGGGCAGAGAGAGGCAGGAAGAUCCCCUCGUGCGGCUCAUCCGCUGACCCUGCAACUCUAUUUGUUCUUCUAAAUAGCCCGUUCACUUUGGAUCUUUGACCCUUGACCACCAUCAACUGAGAUUUUUCGCAUUCUUUAUACAAUCACUUGCUGUUAUUAUUUUUACUUAAAUUAUAAUAUUGUGUUUUUUUUUUUUGGUUUUUUUGUUAAUAUACUUUAAAAAUGAGACAUAUCAACUUAGUCGGUCAUCCGUAUUAUAAUACGUAACAUAAUACAUCAACAGACAAUUAUUUUGGAAACAUUUCUCGUUUAGGUUUUGAAUGAUAAAAGGAGGAAUAAUUGGUUGGUCAGUCUGAGUGAACAGUCCCAAGUCACACUUAAGCUUUUGGACGCUGCAAAUUUAAAUUUGUUUAGGGUUUAUAUUUUGAAAGCCAGGCGUUUCCUUUGGAUCCCUUGCACGUGACCUUCUUUGCUUACUAUAAUACCUUUCUGCUUUUCAUGGCACGUGGGGUUGGCCAUGGCCAUCCUCUUCUGUCUUCUCUAUUUCUUUGAUUCUGUUUGUUCUGUGACUGUGAUGAGCUUGCUUUUCUUCUUUUUCUUUUGGCAGUAACUGCUAGGGUUUUGCUAGUCGUGUCGUUUCAUCAGGCAUGCACGUGCAUGGUAAUAUUCAUUCAUGGUAGACAUUUGGGGUAAGCUGCAUGAAUGAUUUUGUUUUCGGUUAAGAAAACAUAAUAUGAACUUUGUGCUUGAUUGGGUGGCUAUUUUCAUCGGAAUUUAUUUUCAUUUGAGAAUCAUUACGUUUUUAUGUUUAGUUUUUAAUUUUUGUGUUUGAUGUAUGAAAAAAUGGAUACUUUGGAUGCGGUCUCUAGUCUUUAACACUCUUUGAUUAAAACCUUAAUGAUAUUCAAAGUUUGAUCAAAGUCCCUUGACUUUGUACACCUCAUUAUAUUACUAUUUAUAUUUAUAUUUUUAUAGUUUUGACAUUAAUUGUUUGCUAUUUUACGAGAUUUCUAAUCUUAUAAAUUUAAAAUACCUCAUUAUAAUACUAUUAGAAAUGGCUACAAUAAAAAAAUUCAAACAUUUUAAUUGAAUAUAAUGGAUAAAAACUAUGUCACAAUAAGAAAUAAUAAAUGGCAAAAGAAUGUAUCCAUAGUGUGGUACAUUUCACAUAUAAUAAAGUGGUACAUUAAUAAAGAAGAAUGGGUACAUUAUAAAUAAAUUAGUGUACAAAUAAAAGAUUGAAAAAUUAUGAGUACAAAUGGAAUUUUAAAAAAUAUGGGCGCAAAAGAAAUUAAUACAUGGGUACAAAUUAAAACUAAAAAUAAAAUACUACAAAUUAAAAAAAAAAGGUUGCAAAUUAAAAGUGGGUACAAACUAAAAAUAUAAAUAUAUGAUACAAAGUUUAGCCAUAAAACAUAAAUAUACCAUAUGAAAUUUUUCUAUCAUUGAUUAAUUAGACAAUGUCACGUGAUGGCAAACACAUUGGCACAAAUACAAAUAAAACUUUAAAAAAUAUGGGCACAAAAAGAAAUUAAUAUAUGGGUACAAAUUAAAACUGAAAAGAAAAUUGGUACAAAUUAAAAAAGGUUUGCAAAUUAAAAAUAUAAAUAUACUAAUUGUAACAUUUUUAAUACUAAAUGAAUAAUUUUAGGUAAAAAUAUUUUAUUAUUGAAAUAAUUAAUAAUGUUAUUAAUACCCAAUGAUCUUAAUUAAAAAUUGAAAAGAAAUAAGAUUUUAAUCAAUGGAAUAGCAAAAUGAGGGAUGAGAACCUAAUUUCUCCAUGAAAAAAAGUGUACAAGAGAAAAGCAAUAAAGAAGGGUGAUGAGAGCUAAACCCUAACACCAAAGACAUAUUUAAGAGAAAUUCUCAUUUUUUUGUUAAACUAGCAAGUAAUCAUUGUCAAAAAAUUAUUUCAUCUCAAACAACACUAUUUAUUCUAGCAAACUUUGAAUAUUUUAUUAUUAACAAUUCAAACUCAACCCACUUAUUUCUAAAAUAUUCUUCUCUCUCUUCCUUUUCUUCUUGCUCAAGGAAUAUUUUAAUAUUUAGCUAAUGAACAGUUGUUCUAUAAAUUUAAAGAGUGACAGUCUGUUUUGUUAUAGAAGAAACUUUUUUUUAUAGUCUGUUGGAUAUGUGUUUUUUAAGAUUUGGCUCCUUAAAACAGAGUUUUGGUUGUUUUACAGCAUCUCCUGGAGAUGCCCUGUGUAGUUUUUGUUUUCAUACAAAUUUUUUCUACAUCUCACAUCUAUAUCAAUACCAUUCCUUGAUUCUCAUAUUCCGUAUUUCUUUCAUGUGUUUUCCUUGUAUUCAAAAUAAAAACUAGGAACUAAGAUAAAAUGGUUAUUAAACAAACCUGUAAAUUAUUCUUUGAGAUUAAUCUUUAGAAAGUUUUCUCAUCACAUUAGUAGUGAAUGGGAGCAGUAGAUUAACACUUCAUUUUACCAUUCCGGAAGCUUCAAGCCUCCAAGAUACCUUAAAAUCCUUGCUUAAGAAAAGGGGAAAAGGAGAAAAGAGAAGGACAAACUGAACUGCCACAAAAUAAUUAUUUUCUUGUUUUAAAAAGGUAAAAGAAUAAAUAACAUGCAAUUGACCCUAGGUGAAAAUAGGGUAGGGCUUUGGACUAGACUCCAAAAUUAUAAUAUUGGAAAAUCUUUUGACAACAUGUUUAUAGGUUUGGUUAUGCCAAAACCUCUUAUGCUACACACACACACACACACACACACACGUCCCGCAGCUCCAGCGUCCAGCUCCAAGAGCAAAACUCUUCAGAGAAGAUUAGUGGCAGAUAAGAACUUUGCUCGAGAUAAUUGUCUGUGUAUACAUGAAUGAUUAUCAACCGUUAAUUUAUAUGAUAAAAAUCUAUAAUAUGGUAUGCUCUGAUUAACAAUCUUGGAACAACGUAAAUCCGAACGUGAAUUUGCAAGAAAUGUAAAUGACACAAGAUGUAUCGUGGUUCAUCCCAAGGUUUGGGCUACAUCCACACUGAUUGUAUUUCUCUGAGAGUAUUUGUGAGGGAGAGAGUGUGAGAGCUUUGUUCUAGAUAGGAGAGGCUUCGGGUUUGUGAGGGUAAGGAGACCCUUUUAUAGAAUAAGGGCUCCUCCCCUAAUUACAUAUUUGCCUCUUCCUUUAUUACAUAAUUAUAUUUAAGUCCCCCGAGUAUUUAUACGAGGUCUAAAUACGGAGGCCCUAAGUAUGGUAUAAACAGUAGUCCUCCAAGUCUUCAGAAAAGAUAGUCUUGACUGGAGACUUAAAAUUCAGUCCAUGUGUGGGCCGAAGUAACUAGAUGUUGUCUUGAACUGAUGCUCGAUAUGAGGCAGUGCUCAAUCUGAAAUGAUGCUCAACUAGAAGUAGCACACGCUGCGAGGCUGCUCGGCUCGUGGCUUAUGUUGCCUUGGUUGGCUUGGCUUUGUGGCGUUGAAGGUGAGGGAGUCACUUUUAUAGAAUAAGGGCUCGCUCCUCAAUACAUAAGUGAUGGGUUAGGAGUGAUGCUCACGGCGAAGCAGUUGCUCAGUUGACGGCGAUGCUCUCUAAUGAAAGUGAGGGAGUCCCUUUUAUAAAAUAAGGGCUCGUUCCUCAAUACAUAAACGAUGGACUAGAGUUGAUGCUUUCUAAUGAUGGUGAGGGAGUCCAUUUUAUAUAAUAAGGGCUCGCUCCUCAAUACAUAAGUGAUGGGUGCUUUCUAAUGAAAGUGAGGGAAUCCCUUUUAUAGAAUAAGGGAUCGCUCCUCAGUACAUAAAUAAUGGGCUAAGUCGCCCAAGUAUUUUUCAUAAGACCCAGUUGAGGCGUAAUAUAUGGUACAUAAUGUAGUCCCCCAAGUCUUCGGUCAAUAGAGUAUGUUGGCUGGAGACUUCAAAUUAAAUCCAUGUAUGGACCGAAGUGACGGUUGUUCGGAGGCGGUAUUUGUAUACCUUGCACUGAAGCUUUGUAGGUGAAACUUUGCAAGUGAAGCUUUGAAGCUAGAGCUCUGUAAAUGAAGCUUUCGAAGCUGGAGCUUUUGUAAAUAAAGCUUUUGAAGCUAGAGCUCUAUAAAUGAAGAUGUUGACCCUAAAAACUACCAAGCCUACGUGGCACAUGCCGAGUAAUUAGUAAGCUAACUACGUCUUUCGAUUGUGUGCGGGGCGUGCCAACUCGUCGGCCGAGCUCGGCCGAUGAGUAAAAUUUGUUGAUGUUGCGUUGGGUGCGUUGCUGACUUCUGAAUCUCGCGACUGCGGCCGAAGAAGGAACAUUCUCGGCCUUCGGGUUCUAGAGCCUGAAGACAAGGCUGCUAAUUCUGUGAAGUUCAAUAUCAAAUUCAGCUUUCAAUGUGCCGAAUGUAAUAACUUGUAACACCUCACUUCGCCGAGAAGGCUAAUGAGAUGACCUCGACCAAUAAGGAUUCAGAAAUUCUUCUCGACCGAGACUUGGAUAGAUAACGAACCGUCCUCGCCGCAAUGCUGCUGAUGCCAACGGAAGAUGCUGUGAGAUCGGCUGAUUCUACGACGACAGAGCUAUCUAUGCCGAUUGAAGAUAUCACCGGUUGCUUUCACAAUGCUGUUGAAACCAACGGAAGAUGUGUCAGCGAAAAGAGAAAAUAAAAAAUCUCAAAGUUGUUGGGAGAGUUUGUGCAGGGCAAUUGUGUGUUGAAUUGGAGGUCUCUUUUUAGUUGUCUGCCGCUUGGUAUUUAUAGAAAUGUGAGUGCCCAAGUCGCAGAAACCAAUCCUAAUUACACCGUGAAUCUGAGUCUUUAUCUGUUGCUAACCCUACACCUUAUCACAUCAAUCAAAACCCGCUGUAAUCUUGAAAACCUGACCUUCCACCAAAUUCGGCUUUCAAAGAUUUAUCUGACGCAAUCUUGCUUUGGCUAGAUUAUUGGCAACAUUCAAUGCACAUUGUUGUUUUGACCAUGUAGGAAAACAAAAGAAUAUUAUUUUAUUCUUUACCAUCUCUUAUCUUUCACAUGCCCCAAGAGACCAUGUCCAUUUCAAAUUAUAUCUCAUUUCAGACGGCACUUAUCACUUUUCGAUGGUAAUUAUCACUAACUUUUUGCUUGGUCAAGUUCCAACUUGAUCCAUUCUCAUCCAUGCAGAACAUGCUAAUCCUUUUACAUAUCUUUGUGCUGAUCACUCCACGUAUACACAAAUUGCAUGGAAAGUCCCUCACCCACACGCAUAUGCAUAACGCAUGGAAGAAAAUCUGUAACACUCAACGGCUUCGAUCACUCGAGCUGAUUGUGUAAUUUUAGGCCCAAACAAAAGCUUUUAAAGCUGAUUAACAUAAGUGAUGCUCAUGAAUGUUUAUGUUGAUUGACAUGAGUGAUACUCAUGGAUGUUGUCAUGAGUGAUGCUCAUGAAUGUUAACAUGAGUGAUGCUCAUAAAUGUUGACAUGAAUGAUGGUCAUGAAUGUUUAUGUAUGAUUGUCAUGAGUGAUGCUCAUGAAUGUUUAUGUAUGAAUGACAUGAGUAAUGCUCAUGUAUAAUUUGGAGUACUGAGCGUUCUUUUGAUCACCUGGUUAGUGGCAUGAAGGAGAGUACGGGUUGUACCUUUCAUCACCUGGUUGGUGGCAUGAAUGGCUAGUUGCCAAAUGAUAUUAGAGUACCGGUUGUACAUUUCAUCACCUGGUUGGUGGUAAUAGUAGCGGGUUGCCGAAUAAUUGUGGAGUACUGGGCAUACUUUUGAUCACCUGGUUGGUGGUAAUAGCGGCGGGUUGCCGAAUAAUUGUGGAGUACUGGGCGUACUUUUGAUGACCUGGUUGGUGAUAUUUUGGGCUUAUGGGCCUUCGCCCUCUAUACAACAUUCCAACCCAUUUAUUUUGGGCUUUGCCGUUUUUUUUUAAUUACCCUCUGAUGGGGUAUACAUAUUACCCUCUGAUGGGGUUUAUACAGAUGUCUUCGAAAGAUAAAAAUGAAUUACAUCAUUCUGGUGGGGGUGUUUAUUCCUUGCUUUUGCUUUCUCUUUUGCUUUCUGCUUUUGCUUUCUCUUUUCCCUUUUGGCAGAUGGCAGACAACGCUUCCGUAUUGGUUGAGGAAGUGUGCAGACAAUUAUCAGCUAUCACAGCUGGGUUUCUUGGGUCAUCCUCGGGAAUAUUUCUUUCAACCUUACUGACAAGAUCUGCACUGACAUAAGCAUAUUUGGUAUAUAUGCCUCCUUCUUUUUUCUUUAGCAAGCUAUUUGAACAUAAGCUAGUGUACUCCAGCUGUAAAACCCUAUCAAAGCCCUUUUCUUUCUUUCCAUUUUACCUUUAUUCCACUUUUGCUUUCUUUUCAAAAAAAAAAAAUGAUUUCACAUGGCCCUGUAAAGAAGAUGCAGGGACCCGGCUUUGGCCUCUCCCACUCAAUCUGGAAAUCGAGAAGGUUGCGGCGGGUGAGCUUCUCCUCCUCCGGUGCCAUACGCAUCACCUGACUCCUCCAAUGCCGGCGAGGAUUAAACCACAGGGCGGAGGAAGGAGACGGCGACGGAGGAAGCCAUGGAUGCUCUUACAGUUGCUCCAUAUUCCAUGAGUAAAGAGACGAAGUAGAUCGAUGUAUACAGCAUAUCCCGUUCCUUGAAGCUCGAGCACAUUGGAGACAGCUAAAAGGAGAUGGGACUUUGAAGAAGAUUACGAAGCCGCGUGGAAAACACCCUGGCAGUGGAAAGUGGGCCGAAGUAAGCCCACCAAAAUCUGGGUUGUUUCUGUGUUCUCAAAGAGGGUUUUCAAUGAAGGUAGAGCAGAAGCAAGCCCAGGUGAUCGAGCACUUCGUGAAGCAAGCCUCUAGUCUCCAGGGGUCCUCUCUCGUCAACCUUAUAGUUCAACUCACCUCUCAUUCUUUUCUCUUCGCUUUCUCCAAGAUUUUGGCUGUCCCCAAUGUGCUCGAGCUUCAAGGAACGGGAUAUGCUGUAUAAAUCGAUCUACUUCGUCUCUUUACUCAUGGAACAUGGAACGACUGUAAGAGCAUCUAUGGCCUCCUCCAUCAUCGUCUCCUUCCUCCGCCCUAUGGUUCGAUCCUCGCCGGCAUCGGAGGAGUCAGGUGAUGCGUAUGGCACCGGAGGAGGAGAAGCUCACCCGCCGCAACCCUCUCGAUUUCCCGAUUGAGUGGGAGAGGCCAAAACCGGGUCUCUGCAUCUUCUUUACAGGGCCAUGUGAAAUCAUUUUUUUUUUUUUUGAAGAGAAAGCAAAAGUGGAAUAAAGGUAAAAUGGAAAGAAAGAAAAACGCUUUGAUGGGGUUUUACAGCUGGAGUACACUAGCUUAUGUUCAAACAUCUUGUUAAAGAAAAAAUGAGGAGGCAUAUAUACCAAAUUUGCUUAUGUCAGUGCAGAUCUUGUCGGCAAGGUUGAAAGAAAUAUUCCCGAUGAUGACCUAAGAAACCCAGCUGUGAUAGCUGAUAAUUGUCUGCGCACUUCCUCAACCAAUAUGGAAGCGUUGUCUGCCAUCUGCCAAAAAGGAAAAGAGAAAGCAAAAGCAGAAAGCAAAAGCAAGGAAUAAACACCCCACCAGAAUGAUGUAAUUCAUUUUUAUCUUUCAGAGACAUCUGUAUAAACCCCAUCAGAGGGUAAUUAAAAAAAAACGGCAAAGCCUAAAAUAAAUGGGUUGGAAUGUUGUAUAGAGGGCGAAGGCCCAUAAGCCCAAAAUAGCACCAACCAGGUCAUCAAAAGUACGCCCAGUACUCCACAAUUAUUCAGCAACCCGCCGUUAUUACCACCAACCAGGUGAUCAAAAGUACGCCCAGUACUCCACAAUUAUUCGGCAACCCGCCACUAUUACCACCAACCAGGUGAUGAAAUGUACAACCGGUACUCUAAUAUCAUUUGGCAACUAGCCAUUCAUGCCACCAACCAGGUGAUGAAAGGUACAACCCGUACUCUCCUUCAUGCCACCAACCAGGUGAUCAAAAGUACGCUCAGUACUCCAAAUUAUACAUGAGCAUUACUCAUGUCAUUCAUACAUAAACAUUCAUGAGCAUCACUCAUGACAAUCAUACAUAAACAUUCAUGACCAUCAUUCAUUUCAACAUUCAUGAGCAUUACUCAUGUUAACAUUCAUGAGCAUCACUCAUGACAACAUCCAUGAACAUCACUCAUGUCAAUCAACAUAAACAUUCAUGAGCAUCACUCAUGUCAAUCAGCUUCAAAAGCUUCAUUUACAGAGCUCUAGCUUCAAAAGCUUCAUUUACAAAAGCUCUAGCUUCGAAAGCUUCAUUUACAGAGCUUUAGCUUCAAAGCUUCACUUGCAAAGCUUCACCUACAAAGCUUCAGUGCAAGGUAUACAAAUACCGCCUUCGAACAACCGCCACUUCGGCCCAUACAUGGAUUCAAUUUGAAGUCUCCAGCCAACAGACUCUAUUGACCGAAGACUUGGGGGACUACAUUAUGUAGCAUAUAUUGGGCCUCAACUGGGCUUCAUGAAAAAUACUUGGGCGACUUAGUCCAUUAUUUAUGUACUGAGGAGCGAGCCCUUAUUAUAUAAAAGGGACUCCCUCACUUUCAUUAGAAAGCACCCAUCACUUAUGUAUUGAGGAGCGAGCCCUUAUCAUAUAAAAUGGACUCCCCGACCAUCAUUAGAAAGCAUCAACUCUAGCCCAUCGUUUAUGUAUUGAGGAGCGAGCCCUUAUUUUAUAAAAGGGACUCCCUCACUUUCAUUAGAGAGCAUCACCGCCAGCUGAGCAACCGCUUCGCCGCGAGCAUCACUCCUAACCAAUCACUUAUGUAUUGAGGAGCGAGCCCUUAUUCUAUAAAAGGGACUUCCUCACCUUCAACACCACAAAGCCGAGCCAACCAAGGCAACAUAAGCCACGAGCCAAGCAGCCUCGCAGUGUGUGCUACUUCUAGUUGAGCAUCAUUUCAGAUUGAGCACUGCCUUAUAUCGAGCAUCAGUUCAAGACAACAUCUAGUUACUUCGGCCCACACAUGGACUGAAUUUCAAGUCUCCAGCCAAAAGACUCUCUUAACUGAAAACUUGGGGGAUUACUGUUUAUACCAUACUUAGGGCCUCCGUAUUUAGACCUCGUAUAAAUACUCGGGGGACUCAAAUAUAAUUAUGUAAUAAAGGAAGGGGUAAAUAUGUAAUUAAGGGAGGAGCCCUUAUUCUAUAAAAGGGUCUCCUCACCCUCACAAACCCGAAGCCUCUCCUAUCUAGAGCAAAGCUCUCACACUCUCUCCCUCACAAAUACUCUCAGAGAAAUACAAUUAGUGUGGACGUAACCCAAACCUUGGGGUGAACCAUGAUAUAUCUUGUGUCAUUUACAUUUCUUGCAGAUUAACGGUCGGAUUUAUGUUAUUCCAAAACCUUCGAUUUUGUGCAUCAAAAAACAAUAUUACGACGUGGAAUUUCGAAACUGAAAGGUAGGCAUGAACGGUAUAAAGGGAAAAAAUGAUACAAGAUUUGUACCAAACCCAAGAUGACUCUUGGUUGGAGCUGAGAGGCACAAGAAGCAAGGUCUUCCUAAAAAAUAGGACACCGGGGAGCCUCUAAUUAAUUAGGUCGGUAGUUUUCCUGACUAGUGCUCAAUGAGUUGUGCUUGUCUGUCAGUUUGCAAAAAAAGAGCACACAUUAUUAUUGAAGCAAGCUGCAGGACUUGCGAUUAGUGGAGCUGUUGAUUGAUUGUUGACAUGUUUCGUUCCCUAAAAACCGGGUUUUUUUUCUCGUACAUGUCUUGCUUGGACUCUGUUAUCAGCAUAUUAGGCAUGCUGCCAUACAAUUGUAUUGACCAGAUGCAAAGGAUAUGCCACUAAAAGACUGUUCUAAACCACACUAAAAUUUAAUUUGGGAGAUGCUAUCAACUUUCUUAGUUAGAUUGUUUUAUUUAUUUUGUUUGUUUUUUAGGGAACUGUUAUUAGUAUUUCAAAAAUAUCAUUCUUCACUCCUCAUAAAUGUAUUUUUCUUUCUAAUUAUAAAAAGUUUGGAGUGCCAAAAGAGAUUUUUGGAGUGCUAAUAACAAUUCUCUUUUUUCAAUAUUACAUUGUGCAUUAUGAUUUGAAUCGUUUACUUUCUAGUUUACCUUUGCUGAUUCCUUUAAAUUGUUUCUUAUUAAAAUUCUUUUUUUUUUCUUCUUUUAAGUCACAAAAUCAAUCUUUUCUAAAUUUUAUUUUAAAUAAUUAAUUAAAAUUUGAUUUUAACAUAACUUAUUUGAAAUAAUUCCAAUAAAACGACAUUAUUAGAGUCAACUAUACUAUGAUAAUUUUGUUUCUUUUGCGAGAUAAAUGACUGAUUCUCAUGCAACAUUAUAAAGAAAGUCGAGAAGGUUGUUAACAAUCCUCUAAUUCCUUUACGAAUUACCUUUUUCUGUUUGGAGGUGGAUUGUCUGCCUUCCCAUUUCCAUACUCUUCUCAUCCCUUCUUGUUUGUGUGGUCACGGUUAAGUCACGUCAACAUUUUAUAUUGAUUUUUUUUAAUAAAAAUAAUAAAACAAAAGGUAAUAGAAAUAUAAAAUGUUGACGUAGUUUAACCGUGAUUACAUAAAAUAGAAAGAGAUGAGAAAACUAUGGAAAUGGGAAGGCAUACAAUCCACCUCCUUUCUGUUUAAUUCCUCAUAGGUUGUACCAAGUUACCGAUUCAACCAAUUUUACCACUUGAGUCACAUGAGUCACAGUUGAGGUACCAAAAGCCAAUGAGUAGACAGCUGCACGUACUUUGACAUGCUAUUAUUUCCAAACCCAAAUUCUAAUCUUUCAAAUUUUAUUUAUUUUUUCUCCUUUCUCCCUCAGCAAUUUACUAGGGCCUUGGAAGAUGAAUAAGAAAAGCACCUCGACCUACAUUAUACACGUAGACACUUACGAGAGAGAUAAUAGUAUGUUGGAAGUAUACUAGCCAACACAAAUACAAUCACUUUUAUAUCAUUAUAACAUAUCAAGAAAUUAAACGCAUGAUAAUCAAAUAAUGCUCGAUUAAUUUUAAAUAUGAACACACUAUCAUUCUUAUAUAUAGCUAAGUCCCUCCCCAACACAAAUACUGAGACAUGAUAUCUUAAAUUGGUUACAUGGGUAGCAAAAUGAAACAUUCAGAUGAUUAGACUAAAGUUACAACUGUAAAAAUCAUUCCUUUUGUAGGCCUAAUUACUUAUCUUUUCAAGUGAUGUGAGUUACAGAAAUGACAUCAAAAAGCAACAGGCAAGAAAGGGAUGCCUAAUUUCUGCUCUGCUGCUCUUCCUCCACUUGUUUUUUAUUUUAUAAAAAGAGAACAGAAAAAAGAAGACAAACUUAUUAGCCGACUUUUUGGCAUAUGAUGAAUUUUCAAUUUUGAAAAUUCCAGAGCUAAAGUUUAUUUUGAAUGACAGCAACAAAGUGGAACGCAAAGAAUGGACUGAUGGAAAUAUAUUAUCAGGGGUGGCUGUUAACUAUCUGUAAUUUUUAGGUUUUGUUUUUACAAGAAGUAGCUAGUUUCUACUGAUUCUAUCUCGAGUAGUGUUAUUUACACAUUUAUUUUUUAUUUCUCACAUACUUUUGUUAAUUUUUUAUCAUUGAUCUUUUUCAAUACAUCCGAUCAAACGGUUUAGAAAUUAAGAGAAAUAUAUGAAAAUUAAAAAUGAGUGCAAAUAGCACGUACUACUCUUUCAUCAAUUCUAAGUGAUGGGAAUCAAUGACGGAAACAGGUAAAAAAAAUUGGCUGAGCAGCUCCUUCAAGAAGGUGGCUUGGUUAGUUUAGCAUUAGAGCUCUUCAGCCAAGGAGAUGAGCAAGCAUUUGUUUAUAGGGUUUUUAGAGAAUGGGAGACACGGAAACAGCGCCCACGUUCUCCUCAUACCUUACUUCCUCUCUCUCUCUCUCUCUCUCUCUCUCUCUCUCUCUCUCUAUUGUGAAAUAUUUCUUUAAAAAGCACUUAUGUUCAAAAGUACUUCUAAUAAAAAUCAAAAGAAAAUUAAUAAAAAUGGUUUAAAAACUUUGAAUUUUAAUUAAAAUGACAAAAAUGUGUUAUAAGUGAAUAAUACCAUGAGUGACUUUUUAGAGUAAAAAUGUCAUUUUUGUUAAAAGUAAACAGUACCAGAAGUGUUUCGUUAAAACUUUCAAAAAUCAAUUGCUUCUAUAAAAACAUUUAAAGUGCUUUUCGUAAAAGCACAUAACAUGUGUUUCUUAUAGAAAAUACUUCAAAUACUUUCUUUUACGUCAAUAUUAUCAUACACAUUUUUAGUGAUCUAAAAACACUUUCAAACAUCUCUCUCAUGUUAUAGGUCUCCCUAUUGACAAAAUGUUGUGUACCUCCCCAAGGAAUAAAUAUAUACCUCCUUCCUCUCUUGUGAAGCUCAAUAAAUACACUUAUCUCCAUCCCUUGUUCUCUCUCUCUCUCUCUCUCUCUCUCUCUCUCUCUCUCUCUCUCUCCUGUUUACACCACUGUCCUGGUAACAGCUCAAAGAAGGGCUCUCUCUUUCAAGUGUUUAUGUGAUCAUGGUUUGUCUCUGCCCAACCUCUCUCUCUCUGUCUCUGUUGCAUAGUUCUCAUUGUAUUUUGAGCAUAAUUUAGUUUAAUUGUUUUGAUAGGGAAUUCAGAAGCCUGCAUGGUUGGAAGCCCUCUACACUGAGAAGUUCUUCGCCGGCUGCUCAUUCCACGAAACUGCGAAAAAGAACGAAAAAAACAUCUGCUGUUUGGAUUGUUGCAUCAGCAUAUGCCCCCAUUGUCUUCCCUCCCAUCGAUUCCACAGGCUCCUUCAAAUUCGCCGCUAUGUCUACCAUGACGUUGUCCGAUUGGAAGAUCUUCAGAAGCUCAUCGACUGCUCCAACGUUCAGGUUAGUGCCCAAAAAAUGAUCAGUCUAGCUUAAUUGAUUGACUUCUGCCAUUUCAAUUCAGUUGGUUUGACAAUAGAAGUCUUUGUUUGUUGUUUUAGGCAUAUACAAUCAAUAGUGCCAAAGUAGUGUUCAUCAAGAAAAGACCUCAAAAUCGGCAAUUCAAGGGUUCCGGAAACUACUGCACAUCGUGUGACAGAAGUCUUCAAGAGCCUUAUAUCCAUUGCUCUCUCGGGUGCAAGGUAACGAAAACUACGAAUAUAUUUGGAAAUUCGCUAAAAUAAUCAUUUUUCCAAUCCUAGUUACUGAAACAAUCAUUUUUCAAUAUGUCAUCGUUAUCUAAUUGCUAUGUCGUCGAACUUUGAUCAUAUAUUGUUGAUAUUUUAAUUUUGAUCGCCUUAACCAUUGAGAUUUUGAUUUUUGAUCUUUUUAACCAAUUUCCCAACGUAUUUACUUACUUUUUGGCCUUAAUUUGUUCCGUGCAUGCAGAUAAAUAACUAAAACCUUUGCAUCUAUAUUUUAUGCGACAACAAACAACUUAUAUAGUUGAAUUUUACAUGGUUUAUGAAAAUGACUUAUAUAGCUGAAAAUUUUACCUUGUUUAUGAAUACUAAAACGCUUUAAUUAAUUAAUGAACAUGUUGAUUCUAAUGAUUAAUCAGGUGGAUUACGUGCUUAAAUUCAAGAAAGACCUCUCUCCUUACUUGAAAACAUGCAAGUCCCUUCAACUGAGUCCUGACUUCUUAGUUCCACUUUCCGAUAUGGGAGACGAGGAGAUAACCAGUGAUCAGACCAACCCUCAUUCCACAAUUGUGGACCUCGAUGACCCGAUGAGCUCGUCAUCAUCAUCUGGGUCUGAGACCAUGAGCAUGACCAUGCACAUGGCGUACAUGCAUCAUGAUGUCGUCAGGAAAAAGAGAAGCGGGCUUAAUUACGCGUCGUUAUGUGGAAGAUCGGCUCAUAAAGUUUCCGACGAGGACAUGGCCACAAGCAUGAUUAGUAGAAGAAAACGCAUUCCUCAUAGAUCUCCUUUGUGUUAGUAUAAUCAACAAACUUUUUAAUAAAGCUCAAUAUUACAAUUUUCAGUUUAAUUGACUGAAUUGAACUCUUCAAAUGCUUUGAUUAAUUAAAUAAUUACAUUAGCUCUUUCUUUCUUUCUCGAAUUUGAAGUUUAAUUCUUGUUAAUUAAUCACUUGGUCGGGGUGUUUUGUCUUAAGGUGAUCACGUGGUUCCCAAUUCCAAGUUAUUGUUCUGUACAUUUUUAUCACUCUUUUUUAAGUCAUAUUUUAUACUAGACCAAAACAAGGUCAUAUUUCAUUCAUGAUUUUACUAAUCUCAUCAUUGAUUCAAUUACUCAUGAAUUUUGAUGAGGCUCUUCUAGUUCUUGUGAUCAUAUAUGCUUCAUAUUAUAUGGUACAACUGUGUAUUACAAUUAAAGUAUAUUCAUAGUAGGAGUUAUACUAGGUAGGCUAAAUUUUUAGAUUAAAUUUGUAAAUCAUGCGAUGUGUCAUCAAUAAAAAAUAAACACGUUAAUUAACAUUUAAUAAUUCAAUAAUUAACAAUCACGUCAUAUGAUUUAAAUAGUUAAUCUAAAUAGUUAAUCUUUCUAGCAUUAGAUCUAGGAGCACAUUUAAUCUAAAUAGUUAAUCUUUCUAGUAGGAGCACAAGUAAAAUCAGGAGAACAGUUAAUUAUAUGAUACUACAUUUGGAUUUUACUUGUGCUCGUGAUUUUAUACUUAAGUUUGAAAUUCUUUUCAAUAAUUUAAAUGAAUUAAAAUACGUCGUUUAAAAAAAAAGAAUUAAAAUAAAAAAAUUAUAAAUAUGUAUAAUAAUUUUUUAUGUGCAGAAAGGUUAUCAUGACUGGUUGAAUCACAAACCGGUUACCAGUACAUUUGCCCUGUUCUUGCACGACUCAAUAUGCAAUUCACAGAUUUAAUUUAAGGCCUAAUGAGUACCCGCCUAAAUGGUAUUCCUUGGACUUUGACUGUAAUUAUAAAACAAUAUCGUACGUGUGUGCAUGAUUUUGUGUGUGACAGACAAAAGAGACAGAAUUUAUUUAAUUAAUUUUGACCAGUCAAACCUUCCGGGAUUAGCUGUGAUAAGAAUUACUAAUCCUAGCUAUUACUAGCUGUAACAAGCAUAGUCACAACCUAGAUGUACAUAUCUUGUAGCACAUAUUGUACUAUGUCAAUUGUUUGAUUAAUCCUUCAAUUGAAAAGAUACAAACACAGUACUUAAUCACAAAAUUAAUUAAGUAAUUCACCGAAGUUUGUUGAAGAUUACUAACUAGUAUUAGAGUCAAAGGUAUUUUUCUUUAUGGGUAAAUCGCCAAAAUGGUCCCUGAGAUUUCAUAACUCAUCACUUUGGUUUUUAAAAUUCCAAAUCAAUAAAAGUGGUUCCUGAGAUUGUUCAUCAUCCAUCAUUUUGGUCAUUCAGUUAAAAACUCCGUUAAGUGUUCCAGAGCUCCUGGCCGGAAGUUUGGGCAUUUUUCAAAGCUUCGUAACUCAAUCGUUUCUUAACCAAAUUCGACCCAUAAUAUAUCAAAAUGAAGAUAGGAAAGUGUAGAAUAAGAUUAUACCUAUUUCGAAGCCCAAUGGUUGCUGGAGAUUUCCGUAAAAUAGCCUCAAAGUUGACUGGUCCAAGUGAAAACUUGAAAACUCGCCGGAAACUGUGUAAACUUUAAACGUUCAUAACUUCUUCAAUACUCAAUGAAAUCAAGUGAUUCAAAUACAAAAAUCAUACUUCUUGACGAGACGAAGUGAAUGGUACCUUUUCAAUGGCUAACUCGUCGUGGUUUGACUGGAAAACGACUUGAAAGUGGCUAUCUUGGUCUCGAGUUAGUCACUUUCGAGCCGUUUUUCGGCCAAACCACAGUGAUUUAGCCAUAAAAAAGGUACCAUUCUCUUCGUCUCGUCGAGAAGUAUGAUUUUUGAAUCACUUAAUUUCGUUGAGUAUUGAAGAAGUUAUGAACGUUUAAAAUUUACCCAGUUUCCGGCGAGUUUUCACUCGGACCAGUCAAAUUGGAGGCUAUUUUACGGCAAUCUCUGGCAAUCAUUGGGCUUCGAAAUAGGUAUAAUCUUAUUUUACACUUUCCUAUCUUUAUUUUGAUAUAUUAUGGGUCGAAUUUGGUUAAGAAACGAUUGAAUUACGAAGCUUUGAAAAUUGCCCAAACUUCCGGCCAAGAGCUCUGGAACACUUAACGGAGUUUUUAACGAAAUGACCAAAAUGAUGGAUAGUAGACAAUCUCAGGAACCACUUUUAUCGAUUUGGAAUCUCAGGGACUUUCGAAAUUGGCUGGAAGAAGGUACCAUUGGGUUAACCACUUACAUAUCUCAGGGACCACUUUUAUUGAUUUGGAAUCUCAGGAACCACUUUUAUCGAUUUGGCCGUAAAAUAGCCACUUUUAUCGACUCACAAAACUAGUAAAGAUAUAUAAUGUCUGUAUUAAAAUUGAUACCCAAUUAUGGUCAACUCAUUGUACAAAUUAGCCUAAUCUCUCUACCAAUUGCAAAACAUUUCCACUUUUUAUAGUAUUGUAGUACAAUUAAACAUUAUUCUCCUAAUAUAUAUAUAUUAAUACAACAAUAUAUUUUCACUAAAGGAUGAUGAUGAGGUGCUAAUACUAUUUUAAUAUAAAUGUUUUAUGAAUAAUUAGCCUUGCGUGUGCUAAUUGGUUUUAUUUAUUUAUUAUUUAUUAUUAGUAUUUUUUUGUCAAAUAUAUUAGUAUUUUUUUCAUCAAAAUAGAUAAAACUGACUUAAUAUUUAGUUAUUGAAAAGAUUGUAAAAAGGUGAUCAACCCACGUAGUGGUGCUUUGCUUGAAAAUUUUCAAAAUGAUUUAUUUUACCAUUUUACCCCCUUUUUUUUUUAAUAUAAAAAAUUGUAUCUCCAACCCCGUAGGUUAAAAUCUAAAAUUUUUCACCCAUAACUAUUGUUUUUCUCCAACCCUUAUGGGUUAAAAUUUUAGCCCGAGAUUAUUAAAUAAUGAAUUUAUAUAAUUUUUUUCUUAAAGUAACUUCUUUAAAAAAAAAAAAAUUAUGCAGACUAUCCUAAUUUAAUUUAUGAACAUUUUUACCUAAAAAUAUUUAGAUUUCAAUAAAUAUUGAAAAAUCACUAAACCAUCAUCAUGAAACUCGUGGAACACUAUAAAAGAAUAUGAAACACAUGAAAUUUCUUUUAAGUACUUUAGCCGUUAGAUUUAAAUUUAGACCUUUAGAUUUUUUUUUUACUGUUGAAUUUGAUCCGUUGGAUUCAAUGAAUUUAUAAAUAUAAAACUAAAAAAGAUACAUAUAUAUAUAUAGUGGGCCAGCCCCACUUAUCCAGAGGGGAAUCCUGGCCUAAAUUUGCCCCCAGAAAAGAGGUUUUGGUUAAAACUCAUAAUUGCCCCAAGGGUUGGAGCAAGUUGGGGUAGGUUUAGAACCUAAAGUUUGAGUUUUACUUUGAAUGUUGGAGUAGGUCUAAGGGUGUGAGGGAGUGGGCUAAGUCUCACACCGGACUAACCAUAAUGAUGUGGUUCAAAUUCGCAUUUUGCGAGAAUCGAACCUAAGACCUCUCACUUAUAAGUGAAGAAGAAUAUUACUAGACCAUAGUUUUAAACGGCUUACCCUUGUUAAUUUUUUUUUUUUAACAAACGAUAUCAUCUACACUAACGGGAGGGGGUAGGUUUAGCCUCACAAUGGGCUAGCAAUAAUGUGGUUCAAAUUCGCCUUUGGCAAGAAUCAAACCUAAGACCUUUCACUUACAAGUGAAGAGGAAUACCACUAGACCAUAGUACUAAGUGACUACCCCUGUUAAUUAAAUUAUUUUAUUUUGAUAUUCUUAAUUAGGGAGGGGAAUUUCUUUGGAUUUUGAAAGCUUUACCUUGUUUGCCUUCUCACUUUGUAUAGAGAGAUGCAAAUAUUUAUUUGUUUUUGGUGAAUUCUUAUAGAAUGAAACUUCAUGCAUCUUCUGUACAAAGUUCUUAUUUAGGCCCCAUAAAGAUUGGGCCCAUUUAGGGUUUGCGAUUAAUGCUGCAACUAGAACUUCUGUGAUAACUUUUUCAGCAAAAACAGAAACAAAUUUUCUAGGGUUUUCCUUGAGCUAUCAACAAGAAAGGUCCAGAAUGUUUAAUUAGGGUUUGAUCAUAUUGCCAUUCAGAAUAUGAAACUCUAAACGUUCAAAAACCCUGGAAAAAUAAAACAUAAAAACUAUGAAAAGAUGGAAAUAUAUAAACCGAGUGGAUAUGCCUAAAAAAUGAAACAUCAUCGUCGUAUUCAUCAUCAUUAUAUUCAUGUUUAUGACUCCCUAAAUUAGACAAUAUGGUUGGCGUUAAAAUUUUAUAGGUAGCUCAUAAAAUAAAUUUUUAGUCCCUUUAGCUAAAAUUUGAUUUGAAAAUAGAGAGCAUGACUAGAGAUGUUAGUGUAAUUCAUGUUUUGAGCUAAAUAAUAGUGUUUUGUCAGUAAAAUCACCUUACUGAGAAUAGUAAUUCCCCUUAAUUUUCAAUAAAUUCAUCUUAUACUGAAGAUUGUAAUUUCCCCUUAAUUUUCAAUAAAUUCGUUACUGUUGUAAAAAAUGUAAUCUUAUUUUUUACUUCAAAAUCUUGUUCAUUAUCCUUUUGAAAAGUUUACGUGUGCAAAACUCGUAUUAGACACGAAGACAAGUUUAAGUUUAACGGAUUUGAUCACUUUUCCAUACUAGGUUAUAGAUACGUGAACCGUUGGAUUUGUUUGUAUUUCAUACGAAUUUGUUCUUUUUUCUUUUUUGUAUUUUAGAAAACAAAUACUUCAGCUGAAAAAUAAUAGUAAAUAGUUAAUCUCUCGCACAGUCUAUAUAUUCUGUGUUUUUCAUUCCAUAGAAUUUAUGCGCAGUUAGUUAUGUGUGUAAACCGCGUCAUACAAAUAGCUCCCUCUGCACAAAAUGUACGCUGGUCCUCGUCUCUCUCCCGCUCCCCAGCUCCACCUCAAAAACCACAGUGGGUCGAGGAAAUCAUCAUCCGACGUCGUUCGGCAAUCACGUCAACAACAAAAAAAUCAUAGAAAAAACCGAAAAUCGAAAACAUAAUGUCAUGCCUCAGAUCAAACACAUGGAAAAUAUCCAUUCUUUGUUUUUCCAUUUUCCUCUUCGUUCCUUUAAUUUCCGGUACUCCUGACCUUUUCGACAUCAUACGAAGAACAGGUACCCAUGCAUGACAUUUGACAUUCAUGCCCAGCUUUUUUACUUUCGUCGAAAUGGUUGUGAUUUCAUGUUUUUUAUUUUCUUGUAAAAAUUGUAGGGAUUACGUGUUCUUUAAUGUUUAAUUUUUUUUUGGGUUUAAUUUGGUUUGGUUUGCAGCGGUAGAGGUAGGCGGCGAGAGAGGGAGCGUAGGGUUUCACGGGGUGGUGGGAUGGGACACAGCAGCAAGGAGGUUUCUUGAAGGAAAAGAUGGAGAAAACAGGACUGUCAUGUUAUUGGCUGAGCAGAGGACACGGCGGAGAGACCCUCUCGACGCGUUCAAGAAAUACAAUGGUGGCUGGAAUAUCAGCAAUAAGCAUUACUGGGCUGUGAGUUCUUGCUUUUGAAACAUUUUUUCUCUUUUUGUUAUUUGGGUUAAUUUCUAUCAAUUUAUGAAUAAAAAACAUGGUAUGAGGGUUGUUUUGCUAUUUUAAUAAAUUUCUGGAAUUGUUUUGUUCUUUUGCUUAUCUCAUGUUGUCGUUGUUUCAAAAUUAAUUGGGGUAUCUUGUUUAUUUUUAAAUAGGUUUUAGUAUUUAUAACCUGCAGAGAUUGCUUCUAGAAAUGUUAAAAGUCUUUUAUGACAACUAAAAGUGUUUUUGAUUGCGUUUAGCAGAAAAAAUUGAAAUGAUAAAAAUGAUUUCGUGCUUCUUUAGGAAUCACAAUGUUUAAUAAACUGUGCAAUGUGUUUCUAAUAAAAACAUUUCUAAUAGAAGCGCUUAUAAGCGAAAAAAAAUUUUACAUGAGCAAUUCCAAACUAGUCCUAAAUGUAAGUCGCGAUAUCGUAUAUGCAAAUUUUUAAUUUCGUUAAUGAUAUAUAUAGAGAGAGAGCUCUGUCAAGAAUGUUCAUGAAUUAAUAACUUUUGUCAGUUUUUGCGAUAUAAUGUGGUUUCCUAUUCUUUCUUUAUGCUUUUCAUAGUGUUGUUUAAUUUUAAACGUAUGGAUUAUUGGUUACACUGCUGCUCAAUUUUUUACAUUGAUUAUUGUUUUGUUUUAUGACGCAGUCUGUUGGUUUCACAGCGGCGCCCUUCUUCGUCACCGCCGUUGUGUGGUUCGUGCUGUUCGGGAUAAGCCUGUUGCUCAUCUACUUCUGCUACUGCUGCUGUCGGAAAGAGCCGUAUGGCUAUUCUAGAGUAGCAUAUGUUCUCUCACUCUCCAUCCUCAUUUUCUUCACACUCAUGGCAAUUUUGGGAUGUGCUGUGCUCUACACUGGCCAGGACAGGUUCCAUGGCAGCACGUGCAGCACGCUUGGAUACGUCGUGGGGCAGGCAGAUAGGACUGCCGAAAACCUCAGGAACGUGUCAGACUAUCUCAAUGCAGCUAAGAAGAUUGGUAUCGACGCCAUUGUUCUUCCGGCAGACAUUCAGCAGAGCAUUGAUGGUGUUAUGGGAACCAUAAAAAAUGCUGCCGAUAUACUCUCUGAUACAACCGAAAAGAAUUCGAAACGUAUAGAAGAUGGCUUGGAUAUCAUGUAGCCAUAUAACUCUACUGCAACUUCUUCCAAGUUUUGCUCACAAUGCUUAAUAAUUUGGAUAACAUUAAUUUUUCUGUUGCUAUGUUUUGCAGGAGACUAGCUCUCAUUGUUCUUGCUGCUGUUAUGCUUUGUUUGGUCUUCGUUGGAUUUUGUAAGUCCUUUUUUUCUUUUCGUUUUGAGGUAGAAAUUUCCAAAAAAAUUGACUUUUAAAAUUAUCCCUUAUUAAUCUCUCUGUUCUUCUUUUGGACUAAAAUUGUUGCAGUGGUUUCCAUUUUUGGGAUGGAAUGUCUUGUAUACAUGUAAGUGACGUAUACACCUGUAACUGUUUCGUGUUCAUUUUCCAGAUGUCCAAAUUUUGGUAGAAUUUGUAUGUCUUUGUCCUUUAACAAACACUUGCACAUUGAUGCAGUUUGGUGAUUCUUGGGUGGAUUCUCGUCACAGGAACAUUCAUUUUGUGUGGUGUAUUUCUCCUUGUCCAUAAGUAAGUGUUGUUUAAUCGUUGCAAGAAAACAUCAUCCAUAAUCACUGACAUUAGUGGCACUGAAUAAGGUGGCUUAAAGCAGUACCAGUCCCUAUAAUUAACGGACAUGUUAUCAGGCUAAAAGCUUUUGUCACCUCAUCUGCCACCGAUGUCAGUAAGAUUACUUGCUAAUUUUAUUUUUCGUUCUUCUGGUUUUCUGACUUCAUUUCCUAUGUGCAUAAUUGUUAGUGUGUUUGCAGAUGCAUGUGUUUCAAUGAAUGAGUGGGUGCAGAAGAGCCCCACAGCUCAUACUGCCUUAGAUGAUAUACUUCCAUGUGUGAACAAAAACAUGGCCCAGGAGGCCUUGUCGCGGACUAGGGAUGCAACCUUCUAUGCUGUUUUUGUGCUCAACCGUGUUGUCACCGAUAUUGCAAAUACUAAUUCCCCGGCUAAUGGUCCCUUGCACUUCAACCAGACCGGCCCACCAUUGCCGCUUCUUUGCAACCCCUUUGAUGAAAAACGCAACGAGCGAAAGUGUGUCGAUGGUGAAAUUCAAAUGCAAGAUGCUCAAGAGGUACAAAUAAAAAAUAGGAGUAAUGAAUGGAAGAAGCCUAAUAGCUAGCAUCCAUUUCUAAGCUAAAGCAUAUAUGGAUUUCUUUGCUUGUGUCACAAGUUAUUCAAAAGUUUUGAAUGCAAGACCUCCUAGCUGCAACCAGACAUCUGAUACCAUGUUACACAAUCACUAGACACAAAGUAUAAGCUUUAUAGCUUUUCGUAGUGUCUAAAUCUGACAUACCUUCUGUAAUAAUUGCCUCAAACAGGUGUGGAAGAAGUAUGUGUGUCAAUCUUCGCCAGCGAAUGUUUGUAUAACUCCUGGUCGGUUAACUCCAAACUACUAUGACCAAUUGUCCGCCUUCGUCAAUGUUAGCUACGCUCUCUAUCGUUACAGUCCCUUCUUUCUUGAUCUUAUAGACUGCACAUUUGUUAGGGAUGCUUUCUCGGACAUAAGUAGAGAUCAUUGCCCCGCUUUGCGAAUACAUAGUGCCUGGAUGUACAUUGGCUUGUUUUUGGUAUCUGCAGCUGUAAUGUUGUCCUUGAUCUUCUGGGUAAUCUAUGCCCGGGAACGAAGACACCGUGUCUAUACCAAAAAGGUUUUGUCUUCUAGGGUUUGGCUAGAACAACCUGCAGAGGUGGGGCUGUCUCAGACUUAUUCCAGGUCCUCCUCCACGAGAACUCCCAUGCAUUCCGGACUCCAUGAUAGGGCGCAUAACAUUUAAAUUUGCAUAUAGAACAAGCAAGCAAAGCUUCCUUUUUUUUUUUGGUUCUUUUUCCUUGGAUCUACAUUUGAGUAAUGUACCCUCAAUUUUUUGUAUAUUAUACCUACUUAUUGCUAGAAUCUCCAUUAGCCACUUAGUAUUAUGGUCUAGUGGUAUUCCAUUUCGCUCGUAAGUGAGAGGUGUUAGGUUCGAUUCUCACCAAAAGCGAAUUUGAACCACAUUAUUGCUAGCACAUUGUGAUGCUAAGCUCAUCCCCUUCCCCUUAGUGUAAAUAAUAUCAUUUUUUUUAAAAAAAACAAAAAAAAAGCAUAAAUAUAAUCAGUUACAAGCUCUAAUAAAAAUAGGUCGGGAUAAACACAAAAUAAACAAUAAAUGAGGAUAAAUCUCAAUUUACAUACAACUUCUUGUUCCGAACUUCUACUUUUAUAAGAAGUAAUCGAUUUUAUUUAUGCAUAUUUCUUAGAAUAAAAAUUAUAUAAUGUGGGACUGGCCAAUCUUAAUUGUCAAUGAAUAACUUAUACCUUAUAUGUUAUCCAAAACCAGCCGUUUAGGUUGAAUAUAUGAAAGACUUCUAGUGCAACCGUUGAAUAUAUGAAAGAAAAAAUUACAGAUAGUGCUGCUAGCUAGGUUUUAGUGUCAAUCAACAUCAUUGAAGUUGUUUGAGUGAUAAGAAAAGAAAGUGGAGUUCAUUGGCCACAAUCCACGUUACAGGAUAAUCAUAUAAGGAUAUAGUUUGACUCAAAUGGGAACAGUUUGUUCUCUUGCUGCCUGUUUAUCUUAUUUUGUAAUCCCAUCUCAAAACAAUAUUAUUUUAUUUUAUUUUUUUGGAAACAUGUAUACUUAAUUUAAUUGAAAACCUAGGAUUCGUUAUUCUUGAUGUUCUUAAGAGAGUAUCAUGUUUAUCUUAUCCAAUUAGAGCAGCUGGCUAGCGUAUUAUAGGAUUUUAAUUUAGCAGCAUGGUUGAACAAUCGCCUAGUAUAGCGUGCAUUAUUGUCAUUGUCGUUGGCCAAUAAACCAAUAAAAAAAAAAAUUAACGAAAAGCUUUCGGUACUGUUCACUUUAACGAAAAACCAUAUUUUUACACUAAAAAGUCAAUCAUGAUACUAUUCACUUUACCCUUUAUUUUGUCAGUAUCGUUAACUUAAAACUCAAAGUUUUUAAGUCAUUUUCAUUAGUUUUCCUUAAAAAAAAUCUCAUAUCCUCAGUGUGAUCAGAACACGGGAUUAUACAAAUUGUGUGAAAUGUGAGUUAAAAAGUUAAUAAAUAAAAUUUUUCUACCACUUAUAUAAAAAUAUGUAAUGUACUACCCGUUUUCCUAUCAAAAUGAAAAAUUUCUCCUUAACGUGAGCUGUAAGCUAAGAGUGCGUAUCUUCUAAUACAAAGUGAACAUAAGAGUGUUAAGAGAUUUCGUGUCCGUACUCCGUACUCUUUGUAUAUAUUUGGUAAGAGAAUAUUACUUGUGUAUUCCUCAUGUAACCAGCGACUGAUCCAGCAAAGUAUUUGAACUAAUAGCCAUAAAUAUUCUUCAAAAAACACCUUUCAAUUCAAAAUUCCGGGAACAACCACGAAAUGGUUUCAUUAUGAAUAACAUAAGGAAACCAAUUAGCUUGCCCUAACAGAUUUCUUGACAUGUAAACAACAAAUUAACUAAUUAUCUACGUUAACAUGCACAGGCAGGCGUUUAGAAGGGUACAGUAUAAUCCUAUGUAUAAUCUUAAUUAGGAUGCUUUUUUACGUUUUACCAUAACCGUUUCAAAAGUAUUUGUGUACCAAAGAUUAAAAUGAGAGAAACAAAAUUGCCUAUAUUCAAGCAUUUACAGAGGUUUGUAGUUUGCAAGUUCCAACUUACAAGUAACUUCAUACAAAUUUGAUAUAUCUAUUUUCUUUACUUGUUUUUUUGUUGGAUAUCCAUUUUAUAAUUACUUGAAAUAUCAUCAGUUGAUUAAAGAAAAUUAUAGGCUAAUAUAACAAUUAGACAAGGUUACUAAGGUAAUUGUAAACCCUAGUAAGCUCUAUAAAAGACCCGAACUCCAAACCUGUCAUUAGUUUUGAUAUAAAAAAAAAAAAUUUAAUCACAAAAAAAAAUAGUCAUUAGUGGUUGAGCUAUUCCAUGGCCUCAAAAAAAGCAACCGCCAAUCCAAAAUCACACACCUCAAUCCGUACAUGUUCAUGUUCACCGACCACACACCCAGGAUCUUUCCGGUGCAGUUUGCACAGAAAUUCACAUAAACAGGUCAUAAUUUGUAAUGAUCCUGCAAUCGUUGAAAAAUCUGGUGCCAUAAAGGGAUGCCUCCUCCUUCAAAUGAAUCCCUCAGAACAUGAUCCUCGGAGAAGGAGAAAGUUCCAGGCGAGGCCUACCAGGUUCUUCCUAGCCAAUGAAUAACAACAGAAAUGAGGUUGCAGUUUCUUGAUGAUCAAUCGGUCCUAGUUUUUGGAUUUAUUUUUCGGUUCUUAUUUUAAUUUGGGCCCUUUACGUAUAGGUUGGAUUUGAUAGAAACUUGAUCUUCUAGUAGCAUGCACUAUGUAUGGAUGUUCAUGUGAUUAAGUACUUUAAUCGUAUUGGGAAUGAAUAUAUGACAAAUUAGUGAUUUUCUUUUUCACCAUACGGGAUUUCUUUGAUUUCGUAUGGCCACAUUGUGAAACUUGCUACUUCUUCUGUUCUUCUUUUCAUAUUUUUCGUAAUUUUUUUCUUUAAAAGUACAUAACUAGUAAUACAAUAGCAUAUUUGAACCAUGACGAUACCCCAAAAAAUCGUCAGAACAGGCAGUAUGUUUUAUUUAAAUAACAUGAUAAUGAUAUAAAUAAAAUAAAACUUAAGGUAUGAGUACAAGCCGACCUUAGCUCAGUUGGUAGAGCGGAGGACUGUAGUUGGUAAUAUCCAUCAGAUAUCCUUAGGUCACUGGUUCGAAUCCGGUAGGUCGGAAUUUUUUUUUUUAAUUUGUACUUUUACUUAUUCCUAGGUCACUGGUUCGAAUCGGUAGGUCGGAAAUGUUUUUAGUUUUAAAUUUGUACUUUUACAUAGAUUCAAUUUCUGAAUGCUAUCCAAUGUCAUUUAGCCCCCAAAUCAGAAUAGGUUAGUUUGUCUUGUCGGUCUCUUUAUAUUUGAAUCAAAUGAUAAAUCUGUUUUCUUAUUAUUGAACACUUAAUAAAUCAAUAGAUUAUAAUAAUUAGAUGUUUCGCUCGAGCAUUCUUUACAUAAGUUAAAGUAGUUUAGAAUAUAACCCGGUGUCAAAAGAAAAUUAGAAUCGGAUGUUAUUUGACUUGAUUGGUUCCAAGAGUUUUAGGACAUGAACCUUCGGUCCCUUCAACAAAGGCACCUCCUGCGGCCUAUGGGCCAUGAUGCCUGGUUCUCCUCUUCUUCCCCAAGACAUUAAUUAGACAUGUCGAAGGUCAAAAAAAAAAAAAAACUCAGACAAUUCAAAUGCAAGGUACCACAAACUACGCAGACUUUCCAAUGCCUUGUGCUUGAGACAUGCAGUUGGCAGUUUGACCCUUAAUCCCUUUGCAGUUCACAUACUAAAAGAGAAAGAGUAGGGUUCCAGAACUUGUUGCGCCCCCCGCCCCAAAAACCCACCAUGUGGGAGGACUUUUCAGUUCAUCCAAUUGUAUAGGGUAACAUUGGACUUUUCAGUUCAUCCAAUCAUAUAGGGUAACAUUUCUUCUUUUGCAAGAUUAAUAUAAUGACAAAGAAAAAUAACUCUCUUAACGAAACGGCCAGUGUAACUCAUAUAUAUGAUGAAUUGGAGUAUCUUUCUAAACACAAUACGUAUACUAUAUAAGGGUCAAGAACCAAAACCCAAUUAUUUCAGUUACUUAUGUUGUAUAAAAGAAACAAAAGAGGAGUCACAAAGAAAAGUUUAAAUAAAAAGUUACUAAAUGUUAAUUUUUAGGGUUAUUGUAUUUCUGGUGAGUGAAGUAAUUAAAUUAUGGAACUUUAACGAAAAGCUCCUAGUACUGUUUAUUUUAACGAAAAACCAUAUUUUUACACUAAAAAGUUAAUCAUGGUACUAUUCACUUUACCUUUUAUUUUGUCCUUAUCGUUAAAACUUAAAGUUUUCAAGUCAUUUUCAUUAGUUUUCUUAUUAAUUAUUUGAAAGCAAAAUAGAUGGAGAGAGGUCAUUCAUUUUCUGGCCAGUGCGGACAGAGGCCGAAGUGACUUCCACGAGACGAAACUAUGUACCACUGAUUUUCAUUGCAUUACCAUAAACUUUUACUAAUUAUUGGCUUCUUUCACAUCUCUACUUAUUAAUAGCUUGUGGUUAAUCACAAAAAGAUAAAUCUAAUAGUUUUGUAAUAUUUCUUAACGUAAAUGUAAAUUAGAUUGGUUAAUUAAAAUAUUGUAUGGUUCUCUUUCACUCAAAUUUUAAUCUUUCUUUGUUCUCCAAUGAGAGAGUCAUCUAAAGUCCGAAGUUUGGAUCUCUCUGUUCAUAUAUAUAUUUUUUUCUUUUCGUAUAUUAAAUAUAGUCUUCUAACACAAAUAUUCCUACAUAGUCUUUCUAAAAAAGUUAGUACUUCUCAUAAUUAGAAAAGUAUUUUAUACGCGUUUGGCUGGAGAUUCUAGAGUGUACUACUAGCUAUAAUAUAAUUUUUGUCAAUGAGAUUGAUUUGGGCGGCAAGGGAAUUAUAUUGAAGAAGGAGAUAUACAAGACUUGUAGAGCUUGAAAUGGUUGACCCAAGAACUUGGACCUUUUCUUCUCCAUGCAUCAGUGGUCCUCUUGCUCGUCUAGUCAGGUUUUCACAAUGAAUUAAUUACAAAAAUAACAAAAAUUUCGAUGUAGGUUAUUAUUGGCUCCAUUUUAUAGCCCAGGAUUCCUCGAACAUUCUUCUUGAUUUAGACGUUUUUAGUGUAUUAUGAUUACCGUCAUAUGAUAUUAUUAUUUUACUUAAAUUAUAAUAUAUAUAUAUAUAUAUAUAUAUAUAUAUAUAUAUUAAUAUACCUAUAAGUGUGACACGUUUGUAAAAUCAUUUUGUGAAUGACAAUGAAUUAUGCCGAGAAUAAAUGAGGGAAUAAUUAACUUGGACAAUCAAGUUAAUGAAAUUCUCUAGGACUCUCGGUGCCUUAAGGAAAUAAACAUAUUGGAGUCCUAAUUAAAUGCGAUCAAUUAUGGACCUUUAUUAAAUAAAUACAAGGAGUAAGAGUCAUGAUGGGACUUUGAUUAAUUAGAUAUGGUUUGGGUUGAUAUCCUUUCCGAUAAUAGGGAGAAAUUGGUUGAAACCCUAGCUAUAUAACGUAAGAAUAGUCCCUACUUCCAUACCAAUUGAAACUCACGAAAACUACAUGCCUAUUUUGAUAGUAGAGUUCAUUGAGAGGUACUGGAAGUAGAAAACUACUUCUACUUUAUUCACUUUGUUCGCAAGGAUCAAUAGCUUCAUCUUCAUAACCAUGUCUUCCGUAUUCCACACAUAAGUUUAAUAUAAUUAGUCGAUCUCUAUUUUAUAUUGAUUUGAUUUAUUCGUGAUCAUAAUGUCUUGUUGUUAUGAUUUCAGAAUAUGUCUAACAUGUGGUAUCAGAGCCACACAACAAGCAUAGGGUUCGGAUGAAAGAGAGCCGUGAUAUAAUUCCAUUUGGUAUGAUUCCUAUUAACUAUAAUAUAUGGACUAGUCUGGGUGGUGACUAUGGAUACUGCUACCGCUAAGCAGGAACGGAGCCAAAAAUUUCUUCUAGUGGGGGCAACUGAAAACAACUAAGAAAACCGUAUUAUAUAUGGUUAUACGCAAUAUGAUAUUAAGGAUGGUUUUAAAUGAUGAUGUAUCACAAUUCCAAUGUUACAAAAAUUUCAAUAUAGUAGUGGACAGUAGCAAAGUGAUGAGAAAAAUAUAAGUACAUGAUAGGCGGGAGGGUUUUUUUUUGUUUGAAUGACAGAACAAUAGCACUAUUGCUCAUAUAUAAUAUUUGAUAUGGAGUAUAAGUAGAAUGAAUGAAUGUUGGAUAUUAGAUACAUAUAUUUUCUUCAAAGAUAACUGUAGACAUCGAAAUUUCGGUAAAUAAAUGUUGACCGAUAAAUCAAAGUUUCGACGCUCAUGUAUUACAUAAAUUCUACACGUAGCGUAUGUCUAAACAAAAAAAUCGAAAUAAGUUGGAAAAGUCAUCAAAUAGGACACGUGUCAACAUCUGGCAUAAAUGACUUAUUUCAUCUGGAAUAUUAUAUUCAAAAUUAGGCCUUGGAAAUUUCUAUAAAUAGAAGGCUAAUUCAUUCAUUUAGGGGAACCAAAAAAUCAUUAAGUAAGCUCUGAAGCUCUGAAACUCCGAAGCUCUCAAGCAUCCAGGUUCCCGAAGAAUCAAGAAAGCUCUCUUCGUUCUUCGUUCAUCGUUCAUCCUAAGAUCAAGCCCAAACGGCCAUUUGGAUCAACAAUCAUUCACCAAUUCAAGAUCAAGCCCCGACGGCCCUUGAAGAAAGUGUUCUUCGUUCUUCGUUCAUCGUUCUUCCAAGAUCAAACCCCGACGGCCCUUGGAUCAACAAUCACCAAUUCAAGAUCAAGCCCCAAAGGCCCUUGAAGAACUUCCACCAAUUUGAGAUCAAGCCCCUACGGCCCUUGAAGAAAGUGUUCAUCGUUCAUCAUCUGUUCAUCCCGAAGAAUCAAGAAAGCCUUCUUCGUUCUUCGUCCUUCGUUCAUCGUUCAUCCAAGAUCAAGCCCCGACGGCCCUUGGAUCAACAAUCAUCCACCUUUAAGAUCAAGCCCCGACGGCCCUUGAAGAAAGCCUUCUUCGUUCUUCGUUCUUCGUUCAUCGUUCUUCCAAGAUCAAGCCCCGACGGCCCUUGGAUCAACAAGCCACCGUUCUUCAAGAUCAAGCCCAAAAGCCUUUGAAGAUCCGUUCAUCACUGUUCUUCAAGAUCAAGCCCAAAAGCCCUUGAAGAUCCGCUCAUCACCGUUAUUCAAGAUCAAGCUUUAACGGCCCUUGAAGAAACAUUCAUCCUCAAGAUCAAGCCCCAACGGCUCCUUGAAGAUCCGCUCAAAUCCACCUUCAAAGAUCAAGCCCACGGCCCCUUGAAGAAACUUCCAACAGUUCAUCCAAGAUCAAGCCUCAAUGGCACUUGGAUCAACGAAACAUCCACAAAUCAACACCUUACGGAUAUCGAAUCAGAUGAUCAAAUUUGAGAGAGAUUGUAACCCAAAAUCAUCAAAAUACAAAUAUUUGUUUGUGCACGUUGUUCUUGUCUCUUUCGUUUCAGAAAAUUUUCGUGUUCACAAAUUGGCACGCCCAGUGGGACAAUCUCUACCUCUCAUCUCUUUCUUCGUUCAAGGAAUCCAAACACACCUUAAAGUCAAUGGCAUCAAGCAAGGGACAAACCGUUCUCGCAACCACUGAGGGAAGGAUCCUAAGCACUUCUGCCGCAAACGGACAAUCCAUUGGCGCCACAACCACUCUUCAACAUGCCACUUCAAAGUUUGUGCCGUUAAAGGAGCAAGGGGAGCAUCAAAGGCGACUGUCCGUCAUCAACCUGACCUCGUUUGGGGCACCGAAGCAUGAUGCUGAGGCACACAAGAUGACAACCCAAAGCAGCCAACGACGUUCUUCAUCAGCAUCCUGGAUGUCUAAAGGAAAGUCACGUCUAUUGGUCGCACAAGUUAUGACUAUCGGCGUUACCUCCAUCGAAUAACAACUGGCUCAAAUGAAUGAAACGAUUGCAAGGCUAACACAGAUUAUGGAAGAAAAAGACUUGCAAAUCGCUGCACUCGUCAGCCGACUGGAGCCACAGGACAGCGAGAACCCUAACCCAGAAGAUAAGCCUACGGUAGAGAGAAUCAAUGUGAAGCCAGAGCCAGACCAAGCAGCGGCACUCAUGGGAUCUCUUUCUAUCCAGCAGCUGCAAGAGAUGAUCACCAACACCAUCAAGGCACAGUACGAAUGGAGCUCAAAUACAUCCGGGUUGUACUCGAAGCCGUAUUCAAAGAAGGUCGACGCCUUAAGGAUGCCGAAGGGUUAUCAACCGCCAAAGUUCAUGCAAUUUGAUGGAAAGGGAAAUCCGAAACAGCACGUUGCCCACUUUGUUGAAACUUGCAACAACGCAGGGACCGAAUGGGACUACCUCGCCAAGCAGUUUGUGCGCUCGCUAAAAGGAAACGCCUUUAAGUGGUACACGGACCUAGAGCCUGAGUCCAUCAACAGCUGGGAGCAAUUGGAGCGGGAAUUCCUCAACCGCUUCUACAGCACCCGCCGCACUGUGAGCAUGCUAGAAUUGACGAGCACAGAGCAGUGGAAGGACGAGCCAGUCAUUGACUACAUCAACAGAUGGCGCACUUUAAGCCUCGACUGUAAAGACAGGCUCUUGGAAACCUCUUCAAUCGAGAUGUGCAUCCAAGGCAUGCAAUGGGGUUUGCAAUACAUCCUUCAAGGCAUUAAACCACGGACCUUCAAGGAAUUGGCCACCGCGCCCAUAACAUGGAGUUGAGCAUCACCCAUCAUGGGAAGAAGGAACCGAUCGCCGACUACAAGAACGACAAAGAUCUUGAGACAAAGGUGGAGAAGGUUACGGGGAAAUCUACCAAGGAAGCAAUGACAGUCAACACAGCUCCCGUCAAAAUCCCUACACGAGGCAAGGCGAUUCAAGCCGAAGGCUUUCGUGAUCAAGAGAUGCGUAAACGCACUUUGAAGGAGCUUGAGGAGAAAACUUAUCCAUUCCCCGACUCUGAUGUGGUUGCCAUGUUAGAAGACUUGCUGGAAAAGAAGGUGAUCGGCUUGCCUGAGUGCAGACGGCCAGAAGAGAUGAAUCGCACCGACAGUCCAAGGUAUUGUAAAUUCCACCGCUUCAUCAGUCAUCCGACAGAAAAGUGCUUCGUGCUGAAAGAUCUCAUCAUGAAGCUGGCUCAGAAAGGAAUCAUCAAGCUAGAUCUUGACGAUGUGGUGAAGUCAAACUAUACCACCAUCACUUCUGGUUCUUCCGACUCAAAAUUUUUACCUCAACCUCCGGGGGCAUCCUUCAAGACAAGCAAAGUUGAAGGAUGGACUCAAGUCACUCCUAAGAAAUUGCACAAGAAGCAUACGUCUCCUUCACAAGUCCGCCAAUCGGAAAUGGGGCAAAACAGCUCUUGUCAACCUUCAAAGCAACGUGAACGUGUUGAAGAUGAUGAAAUUACGACACAAAGAUCGUCUGUUGCCAUCACAAUGCGCGACUUCUUACCCGAAGACUUCUUCAAUCACGCGGUCAAGGCUCCUUAUUAUGAAGAUUGUGAGGAACGCCUUUCCAAAAUUGCUUGACAAAUUCACCAAUUCUCCUCGCCCGCACGAGUCUAAACUGCAUGGCACAAAGCUUCUGGUCUGCACGAGCAUAAAAGGCAACACCAAUGCUCCUUGUUCGCACGAGCCUAAACUGCACGAACUAAAGCUCAUUGCCCGCACGAGUCUAAACUGCAUAGCACAAAGCUCCUGGUCUGCACGAGCAUAAAAGGCAACAUCAACGCUCCUGACCCGCACGAAUACUUUAUUUCUUUAAAGGAAUGAGUUAGCAGGCGGCAUGGUCAGUGUGCACGGCGACGUCACCUCCGAGGAAAGUUGCAAUAAAAGGCACUACACAGCAUAAACUCGCUGCAGUCUUUUGCACAACCCCACACGAUAAAAGCGACGUACUGGAACGAGCUCCAAGCAGCAACAGCAGUACAUUCUGGCCACCAUGCUCCAAUCGACGAGGAAACUUCAAUGACCGCCGUCAAACGACUAGCCGGUCAUAAAGCUCGACGCUUUACAUUUUUGCCUCGAGCACAAAGCAGCAAGACCGUCGACACCAACUUCGUCACUUUAGCCACCAUGCUCCAAUCGACGAAGAAACUUCAAAGACCGCCGUCAAACGACUAGCCGGUCAUGAAGCUCGACGCUUUACAUUCUGCCUCAAGCUGCAAGCAGCAACGGUAAGCAGCAAAGCUGCCAGCACCAGCUUCGUCACUCUGGCCACCAUGCUCCAAUCGACGAAGAAACUUCAAUGACCGCCGUCAAAGGACUAGCCGGUCAUGAAGCUCAACGCAUUACAUUUUGCCUCCAGCUCUAAGCGGCAAGGGCAGCAGCAAGGCUGUCAACACCAGCUUCGUCACUCUGGCCACCAUGCUUCAAACGACAAAGAAACUUCAAUGACCGCCGUCAAAUGACUAGCCGGUCAUGAAACUCAACGCAUUACAUUCUGCCUCAAGCUCCAAGCAGCAAGACUGCCAGCACCAGCUUCGUCACUCUGGCCACCAUGCUCCAAUCAACGAAAAGACUUCAAUGACCGCUGUCAAACGACUAACCGGUCAUGAAGCCUCUACUGCAGUUCUCCGUCCGUCUGCAUCCUCCCUCUGCUCAAUCUUCUGCCCAUUGCCAAGCAACAUAUGGGGGUAUUUAUAGAAAAAAAAAGAAAAGGGUGAUGAUUUAAAAAAAACAAAUAAAAUAAAAUAAAAAGAUGGUGCGGUUUGCACCAUCUAAAAAGAAAAAAUAUAAAAUAAAAAAUAAAAAAUAAAUAAAUUUAAAAAAAGGGGGUGGUGCGGAUUGCACCAUCUGAAAAGAAAAAAAAAAAAAAAAGGGGGGGAUGGUGCGGAUUGCACCAUCUAAAAAGAAAAAAAAAAGUAUAAUAAAAUAACAUAUAAAAUAUAUAUAUAUAUAAUAAAAAAUAAUAAUAAAUUAAAAAAAAGGGAUGGUGCGGAUUACACCAUUGAAAAGAAAAAAAAUAAUAAUAAAAAAAUAAUUAAAAAAAAGGGGGGAUGGUGCGGAUUUGCACCAUUUGAAAAGAAAAAAAAAUAUAAUAAAAAAAAUAUAUAUAAUAUAUAUAUAUAAAUAAAAUAAAAUAAAUAAAUAAUAAAUUAAAAAAACAGGUGAUGGUGCAGCUUGCACCAUCUGAAAAGAAAAAAAAAGAUAUAAUAAAAUAAUAUAAGAAAUAUAUAUAUAUAAAAAUAAAUAAAUAAUAAAAAAAAGGGAUGGUGCGGAUUGCACCAUUGAAAAGAAAAAAAAUAAUAAUAAUAAAAGGGGGGAUGGUGCGGAUUGCACCAUCUGAAAAGAAAAAAAAAUAAUAUAAAAAUUAAAAAUUAAAAAUAAAAAAAUAAAUUAAAAAUUAAAUAAAUUAAAAAAUUAAAAAAAAGGGAUGUUGCGGAUUGCACCAUAUGAAGAAAAAAAAACAAAUGCAUUGAGAGAAAUAAAGUCCAUUUCAUUGAUUUCUCUGGAAAAAAUUACAGACGGAACAUUUACAUACCAAAAAAAAAAAAAAAAAAAAAAGGUGCAAACAAACAAAAGCCUUCAUUGAUCAGGUGGCACCUCAUCACUCGGCGGAACUCCAGGCAGAAGAGGAACCGGAGGUUGAUCAUUUGGAGCUUCAUUACGCGGUAUAGCCCCAAAAGACGAAGGCAAAUGCUGUUGGAACAAACCCACAAACCUUUGAUGAUCAAGUAAAAUCUGACCAUCAGAUUCCUGCAUCUGGUUAAUCUUCCUCUUCAUGUUUGUAGCAUAGCUAUGUGCAACAGUUUAUUCUCAUGCUUAAGCCCCCUAAUCUCCUGUUUGAGACUCAUCACUUCAGCCGCCAAGGAUUCAACUUGACGGGUUCGAGCAAAUAGGCGUUGGGCCAUAUUAGACACAGAACCUACACACUGCACACUAAGAGCCAGAGAAUCCUUAACAGCCAACUCAUCAGACCGUUUGGAAAGUAGUCUGUUAUCUCUGGAGUGACAAGGUUCCGGGCCACCACCGCAGCGGUCAUAUCAUUCUUCAUCACCGAAUCCCCAACGGUAAGAGGACCAGUAGGGGAUAUGAAUGAUGGGCGCCAUAUGUUGUCUGGAGAAGGCGGGACUGCCUCUUCACCAAGGUUCAAAUCAAGACAACGGUCGGAGGGUCCAGACAUUUUCAAAGGUGUUGAAGAAAGAAGAAGUCGGACAAAUCAAGAUCUUAGAAGUGCAAGAAGAGAGUUUUCUACAAGCAAAAAAUUCAAGUGUGCUUUGAAACGAAGUGCGUGCCUUUAUAAAAAUCAACACUCGACGGGAUUUCAGAAAUUGAAGAAGCGAGCUCAGAAUUCGAAGAGGCCAAUUCAAAAAUCGAAGAGGCAAGCUCAGAAAUCGAAGAAGCAUCUUGCUUUUCCAGACGCGUUAGCACCCGUCACGCGCAAACUCAGCUUUACAGAAAUCACGGGCAAUUUGUUAAAGCGUCAAUCCCAGAUAUCGAAGAGGCGCCAGUCUUUUUCAGCCUCGUCAGCACUCGUCAUGCGCAAACUCAUCUUUGCGGAAAUCACAGGCAAUUUGUCGAAGCGCCAAUCCCAGAUAUCGAAGAGGCGCCAGUCUUUUUUCAGCCUCGUCAACACCUGUCACAUGCACACUCAGCUUGGCGGAAAUUACGGACAAUUUGUCAAAGAUUUCUGAUAAAGAAGAAAGCACGUGAAGCCAUACCGAUCAAUCACGCAUUGGUUGCCGACACGAGUGAAAGAAUAAUACCUCUACAAGUAUUAAAAGACUUCCUAUAACUGUCCACCUUCACCUUCCAUAGCAAGGCAGACAUACAUAACCUUUCUUCAUCUCCGAGAACCUUUCUUCAUCUCCGAAAACCUCUCUUCAUCUCCGAGAACCUUUCUUCAUCUCCGAGAAUGCUUUCCCAACGAAGCCUCUCGAGUUACUCAGUGUUUCUUAUUCCUUGGGGUACCUCUGCAAACAAAUGACACCAAAGCAAAAGUAUCUCAUAUGAACAGGGUAGAAAGCAAGAGUAUCUCAUAUCAUGCUUUCUCCUCGUCCUUUCCUUUGUCCUUGUUCUUACCUGCAAAGACAAGGAUAAAGAAAACAAUAUGCCGGAACCUCCACUCAAACUCGGGUAAGGAACCGACUGCUUGGAACCCUUCACUGAUUGCCUACUUAGCACUGCUCUCGAGUACUCGUCUCUCACUGCUGCUGUACUUCCAAAGAAGCUGCCACAUCUGCCUGAAGAACAGAUAAGGCAAGUGAAAAUGAUACCUUGCAGCAUGUGGAAACAACGUGCAGAAGAAACAAGCAGAGAAGAAUGCAGCCUGCAUAGUCAACUUAGCAGAAGGAGUCUGAGAUGAGGAACUCGAGAAAAUGCCACAUCUGCCUGAGGAACAGAUAAAGGAAAUGAAAAUGAUACCUUGAAGCAUGUGGAGACAAGUGCAACAAAGCACGUGCUGAUUCAUCCGCUACUUCUUCAAAAUCAAAAGUAUCUCAUAUCAUCAGGGUUGCAAUCACUCUGGACGGUGAACUCGUUUUGACCCUCAAAUUCUUGGGUCGACUUACUAGGCGUUGUGGACUGCAUGUGCCGUUUCACCACCCUUGAAUCAAAUCCUUAAAGAUCAAGUCACCAACUGGAAGAAGAGCCCAUCAAUCUUGAAGAUCAUACCGUUGACCAAACUGCUCAGGUGUGAAUUAGAAAGAUUGAACAGAGCAACAAGUCGUCACCUUCACCUCGUGCCUGCUUGUCAUGUGUUCGAGUCAACCCUCAAGAAUCAAGCUUUAACGGCUCUUGAAGAAGCUUCCAGCCAAAUUCAAAAUCAAGCCUCGACGGCCCUGGAAAAAAUCACAAGACCGAUUCAAGAUCAAGUGUCCACCACCCUUGAAUUAAACCCAGUUCAAGAUCAAAGCUGUGGAAAGUCAACAAGCGCAAAAAACAAAUAUGUGCUAAUUCAUCCACUACCAAAGCCAAAGAUCAUCUACCACAUGAAGCUCUUUGUGGUCCAAAUUCAACCUUCAAGAUCAAGCCUCAACGGCCCUUGAAGAAAUCUCAAGCCCAAUUCAAGAUUAAGCCUCAACGGCCCUUGAAGAAAUCUCCAGCCCAAUUCAAGAUCAAGCCUCGAUGGCCCUUGGAUCGACAUCUACAGUAAGGGACUUCAAAACGCAUCUCCUACACGUGACAAGCACAUGUAUACGACACGCCUUGAAGUGGGGGCAUUUGUAGACAUCGAAAUUUCGGUAAAUAAAUGUUGACCGAUAAAUCAAAGUUUUGACGCUCAUGUAUUACAUAAAUUCUACACGUAGCGUAUGUCUAAACAAAAAAAUCGAAAUAAGUUGGAAAAAUCAUCAAAUAGGAUACGUGUCAACAUCUGGCAGAAAUGACUUAUUUCAUCUGGAAUAUUAUAUUCAAAAUUAGGCCUUGGAAAUUUCUAUAAAUAGAAGGCUAAUUCAUUCAUUUAGGGGAACCAAAAAAUCAUUAAGUAAGCUCUGAAGCUCUGAAACUCCGAAGCUCUCAAGCAUCCAGGUUCCCAAAGAAUCAAGAAAGCUCUCUUCGUUCUUCGUUCUUCGUUCAUCGUUCAUCCUAAGAUCAAGCCCAAACGGCCAUUUGGAUCAACAAUCAUCCACCAAUUCAAGAUCAAGCCCCGACGGCCCUUGAAGAAAGUGUUCUUCGUUCUUCGUUCAUCGUUCUUCCAAGAUCAAACCCCGGCGGCCCUUGGAUCAACAAUCACCAAUUCAAGAUCAAGCCCCAAAGGCCCUUGAAGAACUUCCACCAAUUCGAGAUCAAGCCCCUACGGCCCAUGAAGAAAGUGUUCAUCGUUCAUCAUCCGUUCAUCCCGAAGAAUCAAGAAAGCCUUCUUCGUUCUUCGUCCUUCGUUCAUCGUUCAUCCAAGAUCAAGCCCCGACGGCCCUUGGAUCAACAAUCAUCCACCUUCAAGAUCAAGCCCCGACGGCCCUUGAAGAAAGCCUUCUUCGUUCUUCGUUCUUCGUUCAUCGUUCUUCCAAGAUCAAGCCCCGACGGCCCUUAGAUCAACAAGCCACCGUUCUUCAAGAUCAAGCCCAAAAGCCUUUGAAGAUCCGUUCAUCACUGUUCUUCAAGAUCAAGCCCAAAAGCCUUUGAAGAUCCGUUCAUCACCGUUAUUCAAGAUCAAGCUUUAACGGCCCUUGAAGAAACAUUCAUCCUCAAGAUCAAGCCCCAACGGCUCCUUGAAGAUCCGCUCAAAUCCACCUUCAAAGGUCAAGCCCACGGCCCCUUGAAGAAACUUCCAACAGUUCAUCCAAGAUCAAGCCUCAACGGCCCUUGGAUCAAUGAAACAUCCACAAAUCAACACCUUACGGAGAUCGAAUCAGAUGAUCAAAUUUGAGAGAGAUUGUAACCCAAAAUCAUCAAAAUACAAAUAUUUGUUUGUGCACGUUGUUCUUGUCUCUUUCGUUUCAGGAAAUUUUCGUGUUCACAAUAACCCAUGUAUAUUAUAUAAUUGUAGUCUGCAACUAAACAAACGAAUUACUUGAGUGGAGGCGUUUGCCCCCAGUGAACCUUCAUUGGCUCCAUCCAUGCCGCUAAAUAGUAUUCAUGAAAUUUUAUUUUUCCCUUUUGGCUCUCGCUUAAUUAUUAGGAAUGGGUUUGUUUUGCUUUCAUGGAUAAGGCAUAAAGAAGUGAGUAUUUUCAGGUUUCUUUGUCUCCUAUAAUCCCUAAAAUUAAGAUAAAUAAAUAAAUAAAUAAAUAAAUAAAAUAUAUAUAUAUAUAUAAUAUUGGUUCGACUAAUCAUGCUCUAGUGAUAUGAUUCUGGUUUUUUUUUUCUUGCUUCCGCUUAUUGCCUUUAAAUUUUUAAAUUUGGUAAGUUUGCUUGUAUUCAUAUUAUUUUGAGUUGAUGGAUCAAAUUGACCUUAUGGAUACUGACUUCCUGGGUGAGCCAUUGUAUAGGAUUUCAUGAUUUAAAAUUCUGAAUUUGGAUGCCAUGACACUAACAUGUUUUAGGCAGGCACACAUGUUCAUUCAUAUCUUGGAUGAAUGUGUGAACUCAGUCUGCAUAAAUUAGAAAGGUUUGAGAACCCUUUUCAAUUCCCAAAUCUUGCGAUCCUAAGGAGAUUGAGCUAUAUGUACAUAUAAUAUCUCGUUCACAUGUUAAGUUUUUAUGCCCAGAAUUGGGGUUGUGAGGAUUUUCUUCAAUCACUUUUAAUUGUCGUUUGUUCUAAUCUGCUGCAUAAUUUUGAGUAAUGGAUUAAUAAAUCAAAUUUUUCCUUCAUUUGAUAUAUGUAAUUAGAUUUCAGUUCAUGUCUACUACAUUUGUCCUUUGUGUUUACUGAUAUUCGUCUUCAAACAUAAAAUUAGAUAACUUGAGACCCAAUUGAUUUUGAGAAAUUCCUCAAAUACACACAUUAAUGCCGUGGCCAUUUUGGUUUCACUUUUGAAGUGUUUUCUUAUCUUAGAAGUGAUUUUGAUAUAUCACAAUGGACAUGCUAAAGGUUGUUUUAAAAACAAGACUAUGAUGUUCUAUUUUUGUUUCUGAUCUUGAUAGACUUCCAUAACUCCAAAUAUUAUGAAAUUUUGUCAUUUUGUAAUAUCGAAUGAAUUAUAGACGCUGGUAUUUUUUUCUCAUUUUUUUUGACAAGAAAUGAAUUUAUGGUAAAUUUGAAGUGUUACACUAUGUUGCUGGAAUUCUGCACCAUAGUCUAUUUGUGACAGUAUUUUGAUAUAUUAUAUAUAUAUAUAUAUAUAUAUAUAUGUAACUCAUAAAUUCAGGAACUUUUAGUAUGAUAUACAUUGAGAUGUUUAUUUCAGGUCUGGAAAUUUUCAUGCACAUUGGUUUGAAAAUGACUUAUUGGUGAAUUUUUAACCUCGGGACUAUACUGCAGAAUUUACGCAGCUUCUGCAGCACAUUCCAUUUCGAUUUUAUUUUUAGCCCACUUUUAAGAUUGCAAAAAUUAUGGAACUUUGGGUGACAGUAAAUUUAUAUGUCUACUUCAUUUCUGGAAAUUUUCAUAAACAUUGGAGAAAAAAUUGAAUUUUUGGUGAAUUAUUUAGUCUCGGGUACGUACUGCAGAAGUUUUGCCGUUUCUGCAGCACAUCCCAUUUCUAAUUUUCUUUUAGUACACUUAUAAAAUCUCAAAAAUUAUGAAAUUUUGGGAAAUAACAUCUUUGUAUGUUUCCUUAUUUUUGAAAAUUUUCAUGCAUAUUGUCACAACCCGUCCCAAAAUAUUUUAUCAAUGGUGUGAAUUGACCAUUCUACCCUUAAGCGUUUCGUGGUGUUGUGUAGAUUGGACUAAGGAAAUAGGGGCCAAUUAGCUUUAUUCCUAAUUAAUUGGACCCAAUUAAAACUUAAGGACUUAAGGUUUGUUUUGAUUGGUGACCCAGCUGGACCACACACACUCACACAAACCCUUUCCCGUUGACCUUCUCUCUCUCCUUCCCUUGUAUUUUCUACCAUUUCCGUACACUUGUAUGGACAACACCCAAACCAGACCCUAUCUUCGCAGAUCGACGUCAAGGAGGUUGUUUUUGUGUUCCUCAUGAGUCCAGGUGGUCAUCCAUGCCCUUAGUUUGACGUGAAGACCUUGUUUUCCGAGAACCAGAAAUCCCAGUUUUGAUACAAUGUUCAUACACUUGUGAUUUCAAAGUUUUUAGGAGAUUUUAAGCUGCUAGUGAGCUUUAGGACAUCUUCACGAAGCUCGGAGAAGAAAAACGAAGUGUUUUGGACGUCGGGAAGUUGAGUUUGGCAAGUUUCAAGUUUGGCCGGAUUAUCGAUCGUUCUCCGAUGAAAUCCCGUGGAUUUUAGGGCUUUAAAUUGGUAAGGUUUUGCUCUUCUCGUUGUAAGCUUCAUUUUGGUACAAAUUUCAUGGAUUUUGGUAUAAAAAUGAAAAAGAUAUGAAGGUUCUUAUAUUUUCCAGUUUCCGGCAAUCGCAGCGGCGCCGGCGAAAUUCUCCGACAAACCAAGGAAGAUGAAGGAGAAUAUUCCAUCAAGUCUAAUAGAAUAUUCUAACGGCGUCAGGUAACACCGUUAACUUCUUUUAAGAUUUAACGGAAUGUUCCUAACGGCAGUUAAGUUUCAGUUAGGGUUUGGCCGCUCGUGGGGGGUGCGUCUGGCCGUGCCUUGGCCGGCGUGUGGGAGGUUGAAAAUUUUUCUAAAAAUAUGGGGAUGUUCCUGAGGAUGAGUAGAUCAUGGUGGUAUAUUCAAAUACCCCAUUUGAGCAAUGUAUGAAAAGUUAUUUUCUAGUUUGUGUAUGUGCUUUAAAUAACAUUUAUUCAGUUAUUUCGCAUAUAGGUGAGAACUAUCCUGAGGACGAGCGCCAUCAAUCGAGGCUUGGGGGCUACGACCCUUCGACAUACCAGUGAGUGGGCUUUUAGUUUUUCAUAUAUACCUAUAUACUUGAGAUUUUUCCUAGAAAAUGAAUUUGAAUGAUUAUACGUUUUGAAAUGCCAUGCAAAGUAUCCGCCUAUUUUAUUUAUGCAUUAGUAGUUGCAUGUAAUUAUGAUUAGUAGUUGCAUGUAAUUAUGUGAGAGAUGAUGUGAUGUUUUGAGAGCUCAUAAACUUGCACCUCGGUGUUAGUGUUCCCGCCCAGAGUUAAGGCACAGUCCUUCACGUGAUGUUCACCUCCCGCACCAUAUGCUCACCUUGGAUCCAAUUUAGGUGCACAGGCUUGUCGUACAUACCACUUUAGGUGGUUCCGACUCGUAGGUGACCCGCGAUCAUUCGCACAGCCUCCAUGUGAUUGUAGCACUAGAGCAUAUUUACUUUACACCUAGUCUUGUCGUACAUACCACUUUAGGUGGUUCCGACUCGUGUGCAUGAUUUGAUUGAUAUGAUUGAGAUUGGUUAUGAGCUAUAUACUCAGCCAUGCAGAUUGAUUUAGAGGGAUUUGGCUGAUGCGAUAUUUGACAUUGAUAUGUUUUGCUUGGAUUACUUAUAGCAUUGCAUUGAGAUACUUUGGCAUGGUAUACUUCUAUGGAUUUUCAUCUUGAAUAUAAUUUCUGAUACAACCUAUUAUUAUUAUUAUUAUUAUUCUAGGAAGUUAUACAGGUUUUACAGCGAGGGGUUAGAACUUUUGAGAAAUGAAAUGAUUUUGAAAAGUUUUGUUUUUGCCCACUCACACUUUCUGUUUUGAGCCCAUCCAGGUUUUAGGUAGAAGUGCUUUGAUGGAUCACGAAGAUUUCGACGGGGGUUCUGACAGAACAUCAUAAAUGUAGGAUCACCCUUGAAUGUUUUAUAAUUAGUACUUAUCCUGCUUGAUUGCACUUAGACUAUUUAUGCUCUGGUUAUGUAUUUCACACUUAAUCUCGCACUAGCACUCUAUCUUAGCUAGUACUGCUAGUAGUUGGUUUUUAUUCAGUCGUAUUUCCCUUGUAUCUCUUUUGCUUCCGCACUGUGCACAUGGUUACGUCACUCUCACGUGAUGACCAGCAUGCCUUGAUUUAGGUCGAGGUGUGUCACAUAUCGGUUGAACAAAGAAUAUUUAGUGAUAUUUUAAUCUCAGGUAGCUAUUGGAGAUUUUGUAUAGUUUAUAUAGCACAUCUUUUUUUCGAAUUUGUUUUUUUUUUUACUCUCUUGUACAAUUUAAAAAUCAUGAAAUUUUUCAAAAAAAGUAGUCAUAUAUGUCUAGUGCAUACCUAAAAAUUUUUACGACAAUCUAAAGAGAAUUGAGUUUUUAGUGAAUUUGCAAGCUAAAGUAGUACUAAUGAAUUUUGGCACUUCAAAACUAGUUUUGUUAUGUGAUAUUGUUUCACUGAUUUGUGCACAUCUAUUAAUACCGAUUAUUGUACAAAUUUAUGGGUCCAAUAUGUUCUUAUUUUAUGCAAAUUCUCAAUAAUAAUGGCUUUUAUUAGAUAACAUUGAUUAAAUUUUGAUUUAAAGAUGUAUUGGUUUAUUUUGCUUAAACCAAUGUUUUUUGUUUGGUCAUCAAUUUUGAUUAUGAUGAUAAUUGUCUUUUGAGAUAAAAUUGGAAAGUGGCAUCAGUUUACUAAUUGAUCAUUUUGAUCCCUAUCGAAUAACUGAAUAACCAUAUUUCCUCUUUUGAGAACUCUAUUGUCCAAUGUCAAUAACGACAUACUUUUGUGUUUGAUUUAAUCUUUUGAGAAUUAUUGAAUAUCCAACAAAACGGUUAUUUAAUAUUGUUCUAAAGGAUUAUUUUGAAAAAUCAGAAUUCUAAUUUAUAUGGUGAAUACUUUUGCCCAAUGGAAAUUUUAGGAAAUCACUCACCAAUUAUAAAUUAGUACUAUAACAAAUCAUAAAGUACUUCCAACAUAUUUUCAUAUGGCCAAAACUAUUGAAACUAUAUGUAUUUUGUGUAUUUUAUGUUUUGGCAAGCAAUGCAGGUAUUUUUCACAUGAUUUGUUUAUGCCCAAAUGUGUAACAAUCAUGCAAUUUGCAGUUGGUUCGACGAUUCUCCAAAACUCGAUUACAUCCAUUGUGUAUUUUGCAGAAUCAAGAACGAAAUAGGUAAAUGUGUCAAUCUUUUGCCUUAAUUUUCUCUGGCUUCUAAAUUAAUUAAUAUAUGGGUACAAAUUAAAACUAAAAAGAAAAUUGGUACAAAUUAAAAAAGGUUUGCAAAUUAAAAAUGGGUACAAACUAAAAAUAAAAAUAUAUGAUAAAAAAUUUAGCCAUAAAUAUAAAUAUACUAAUUGUAACAUUUUUAACACUAAAUGAAUAUUUUUAGGUAAAAAUAUUUUAUUAUUGAAAUAAUUAAUGAUAUUAUUAAUACCUAAGGACCUUGAUAAAAAAUUGAAAAUGAAUAAGGUUUUAAUCAAUGAAAUAGCAAAAUGAGGGAUGAGAACCUAAUUUCUCCUUGUAUAUACUUCAUAUGCUCAAAAGUGUUGAAACUAUAUUGUAACAUCUCACAUUGCCCAGGGGAGUGGAUCAUUUAUGCCUUAUAUGUAUAUUCUCAUCUCUACCUAGCACGAGGCCUUUUGGGAGCUCACUGGCUUCGGGUUCCAUCGGAACUUCGAAGUUAAGCGAGAUCGCAGCGAGAGCAAUCCCAAGAUGGGUGACCCAUUCGGAAGUUCUCUUGUGAGUUCCCAGAAACAAAACCGUGAAGGAGUGGUUGGGGCCCAAAGCGGACAAUAUCGUGCUACAGCAGAGUCGAGCCCGGGAUGUGGUGGGUGUCCGGGCCGAGAUGUGACAUAUAUACGUUUGCCCUUGUAUUUUAUGUUUUAAUAUAAUUAGUUGAUCUCUAUUUUAUAUUGAUUUGAUUUAUUCGUGAUCCUAAUGUCUUGUUAUUGUGAUUUCAAAAUAUGUCUUACAUCGUUCUCCAUAAUUUGUACUGUAAUGAGUUUGCAUCUUCGAGAGGACCACCAAAAACAAAACUUAAUCUGGUGAAAAUAUAGGUAAUCCAUAAGGAAACUACAUUUUUAAUUAAUUCUUUCUGAUUUUUUUUACAUUUAAUAAAUACAUGUAUAGCUUCAAACUAAACUAAUUAACAACCAGUAGCCAAAAAAGAUUUGAUUGCACCAAACAAAAAUGAUGUUUCCUGAAUUAAAAAGAGUAGUAAAGAUUAAACAAAAACAAAUAUUUUGUUCAAAUCUCAUAUAGAUUGAAGCCUGCUACCCGAAAUUUGUGGAGGUUCAAAUCGAGUAACCGGCACAGAUGAGUUAGAUGAGCAUUAGUGCAGCAUAUAGAGAAACGUAAGUUCGAUGAUUUGACUCACUACCAACCUAACAUGCAUGAUGCAAAAGCUUUGACACAAUUUGUCCUUCUGAUUCGUCCACAAUAUCUUCAUUUGUGAACUAAUUAAAAACUUAAACGAGCUAAUAGCUAGGUAUGUAAACAAGGCAUGAUUUAUUUUCGUAGGGAGAUUCGAGAAGCUAGAUUUGCCACCCAACUAAUUCUUAAUUACUAAUUCCUAAAUAAUUAAGAGACUAUUAUUGUGUGACAACUGACAAGUUGUUGAAGAGUAGUGCAUGUAAAGUUUCUAACCUAAAUCCUUACGUAAAAUCAACAAACCAAAGUAAUUAUAUUACUAAUUUUGGUGCUAGAUCGAUGUAGGUGUAUCUAAUUAACUAACAUUUGUUGAAGUUUUUUUUUUGUGAAAAUUUACUUAUUACUCAUUUGUCCCACAUUGGUCAAGUUGAAACCUUUCUCACACUUCGUAAUACUUUGUCAUUCUUACCAAGUGAUUGGUAAAUGGAUUUUGGAGAGGAAAUUUGGGCUUAAACCUUUGGUUUGUGUUUUGGAGUGUGAUAAUUAAUAUAUAUAACACAAAAAAUGCAUCUCUCCUACUAAAAUCCCACAACCUGAGUAAGGACGAAAUUCUCUUUCAAAAACAUUGCGGUACGCAAGCCUCGAUCAUUAUAUUGUUUGUUUAAUAUUAAUUUCGUUCAUAUAUAUUCAGUCAAUAUACUUAGUGGCAAUUUAUUGUUUAUUAGCAUAUAAUACUUGUAUAUUAUAUAUAUAUAUAUAUAUAUAUAUAUAUAUUUGUCAUUGAUUAUUGAUAAAUAAUCAAAAAAUUUGUGUUAGCUUAAGCUCAUUCUUUUACUGCCUGUGAGAUAAUAUGACCAACUACACGAGGACUACAUAGUAUCAACAAAUGUAUGGUUAAAUUGACAAAAUAAAAUACGAUAUAUAAUAAACUGUUGUAGAAUGUAUUGCAUAAUGUAUCGAAUAACUGCUCGAAAAAUGCAAUUCAGUUGUAAAGUCCAAGCAUUGCAGAUUUGGACUCUAGUGUUCUAUCUGAAGGCAUGACCCAUCAUAUUGCCACACUUUGCCAUGUUGUCGGACAUCAUUAGAGAUGUUAUGAUAUUCCACAACUUGAUUAAUUAAAAUUGUGAUCGGAUAACUUUAUUGUAAUAUGAUUUGUCUAGGAAAGACUCAAGUUUUGAAGUUAGCCAUCUACUUUCAUUAUCUUUAACGAAUGGAUAAUAUAUUAUAAAGGUGUAAUUUCUUUAAUUAAGCAAGUAGGUUUGUGUGGGUUGUCUUGAAAGCAACUUAGUUGUUCAUGAAGAACGAUUAGGAGCAUAAACCACCGUGCCUACCGUAAAGGAUGGAACUAGAAAUUUCGUUUAGUGGGGGAAGAUAAAAAAUAAUAUUACCAAACUUAUUAUCUUAUGGCUCAUACCCAAAUUGAUGAUGCGGAUGAUAUCAUAUGCUAUGAUGUAUCACAAUUUUAAAGGGACCUGGAUUGUCUGCUCUCCCCAUCCAAUACAAUUCCCGUCCUCUUGUAUUUAUGUGGUUACGGUUAAACCACGUCAACAUUUUAUAUUGAUUUUUUUAUAGAAAUAAUAAGCAAAAAGCAAUGAGAAUAUAAAAUGUUGACGUGGCUUAACCGUGAUCACAAAAAUAUGAAGGAAUGAGAAGAGUAUGAGAUAGGGGAGGGCAGACAAUCCAAGUCGAUUUUAAAGUUAAAAAAGUUUCAUUCUAGUAGUGAAAAAGUGAAAGUGAGAGAAAUAAUACAUGAGAGGCAAAAGAACAACUUUCUCUCUCUACUUCAUUAUAUUCUUCUUCAUCUUUACAAUAUAUUUGUUCAAAUAUAUACAACUGCAGGCUGCAGCUUAAGAUCGAAAUUACUUGAUUGGAAGCAGUUGCUCCGAGUGGACCGCUUCAUCCAGCGGCCCUACUGGUCACUACAUGGGUAGUACUGCAGCCUCCUUAUCCCUGCAAAUGUACGUGCACAUGUAUGAAAUAAGUUAAUUGUACUUAAUUUUUUGUAUUACUAGUGGUUUUUUAUCUAUCAAAAUAGCAAAUUUGGACUACAACAGUACAUUAAAAACAUUUACAAGACAACAAAAGAAACAACUUAACAAAAUAUAUUAGCUAUGUAGGGUUUGCGUGUAUGUGUAUUAUUGAUUAACAUCAAUGUCAUUUUCAUUAUUCAAUUACAAAGAAUUUUUCUUCUGAAUUUUUUUUUCUUCAUUUAACAAGCGAUAGUGAAAAUGAAAAUGAUUGAACCUCGCUAGGACUUCCAAUGUGGCGACCACUUGAGCUAUAAAUUUAUUUUCUUUUCUUCAUUAAUAUUAUGUUUCACAAAAGUAUAAAAUAAUAUAGAGACUGGUGGUUCUCAUUCAAGGUAUGGCCAUCCAUUUCACCUGCCUUUUGUGUUACAUAAUACUAAUUGUCAUAAACAUUAGACGGUCUGAAUUUAUAAAAUCAAAUAAUUUGAAAGUUCAUAUCAUUCCAUACUCGUAACAUUUAAUGUUAUAUAUAAACGAAGAAAGUGAAAAGUAUGAAAUGAUAUAUGAAUGGCCAAUGAACAGUGCUUUUCUUCGGUCGUCUUUCCAUCUUUGGGACCAAGAAAGCAACUUCUAGUUGAUUAGAUGGAAAAAGAAAAGAUUUCUAAAGAACACGUAUUAUAUUUAAAUAGUACUCUUAAUAAAUAUUUCUUUUUUGUGAUGUCGACUAGUAAAUUAAGCAAAAAGAAAGAAAAAGAAUAUUUGAUUUCCUUUUUCUUUUUAUCAAAGUGAAAAAGAAGACAAUUAUAAGUCACUACUCACUAGCAAACUUAUUAUGAAAGUGAAAAGGCAUGAAUGUAUUAUGCUCCAGAAGUCAUGCGUGCCUAAAACAUUACCCCACUUCCAUUAUUUGAUUUUCUUUUUCUUUUCAUCAAAUUGUAUUCUAUUUUAUUUGCCAAAGUCUGGGGUGUUUCCCACUUCGAAAAAUAGGGCUAAUCUUCAGUAAAUUCCAAAGGAAAAAGAUUCUUUUAUCUUCUUUUGUUUCUUCCCUUGCUUUUCUUUCUAUUUGAACGGUUAUAGUUAAAUCACGUCAACAUCUUAUAUUAAUUUUUUAUAAAAAGAGAAAGACAAAAUAGAGAGCGUGAGUAGGGGAUGGAAGGAGAUGGAAAGAGGAGGGAAGAGAAUCCUAGUUCAAUUCUAAAACAGAUAAAAACAUUUCAGUCCACCCUUUACAAAUUGCACUAUUUGAUUUCAACUUUGUCAUAUUUGUUGUAAUUUUUUUAGUCCAAUAUCGAUAUUAUCUAUACUAAGGAUUUAGGGAGUGGUAUUGCUAACGUGAUUCAAAUUCGCUUUUGACAAGAAUCAAACUUAAAACCUCUCACUUACAAAUGAAGAUGAAUAUUUUCAAACCGUAUUAUUAAAGGACCAUAUUUAUUGCAAUUAGACCGCUUGGUUAUGUCGACAUCUUUGCACGAUUUGUCAAACAACCCAUUUGGUUUAUUGGGCAUAUGUCUACACUAUGGGGUAAAAAAGGGAGUUAAUCCUUACAAUGAUUAGAUAAAAUGUAUUUCAAUUUAUUUUGACCAAAAUCAAACAUAAAAACUCACAGUCACAUAUGAAGAGGAAUAUCACUAUAUCGUAAUAUUAAGUGACAAUUUUUUAGAAUACUUAAACACAGUCACACGUAUCUAUCUUGUGUCAUUUAAAUAAUAAUUUAAAAGUGAAAUUAUCAAUUUUGUCAUUUAUCUUUAUUAUGAAACAUGAAAUAAUAUACUGUGUAGUUUGUGUUUCUGUAAUCAUAAAAAUUUAUGCAUCAUGGGGUACGUAUAGUUGGUGUGUGCAAAUAUUAAAACAGAGUUGAGAAUCUUCAUAAAUAAAUAAUAGGGGUUUAAGUGCUUUUGCUGCAAGCACUUACAUGAUUUUAGCACCGCUUAAAUUUGGACAAUUGUGAGGACCAGGAGCAUGGUAUGCAACUGCAAGAAUUGUGAGAGCUCCAUGUGUCCCCCCAGCACAAUGCAAGUGUGCCACAUACACCUUCCCUCCCAUUUGCAGGGUCCCCAGAUCGAUUCCAUUCUCGGAAUAAUCAAAAGACAUCACAUGAUCUUCUCUAAACACUUUGUAGAUCUCAACUAAAUUAAAAUAUUUUAAUAAACCCCCCUUUUUCAAUUGUUACAUGAAAUUUACUUUACAGUUUGGUAUUUUCAUAUAAUUGGGGCACACGUAGGGGCACGUAAUAGCUUGUGAUUCAACAACACUUUGUGUUUAUAAUUUUAAUUAUUUAGAUACGUGUCUAUCAGAUUGCUUAAGGGAAGGGAUUCCCAUUUUUUGAAAAAAAUGGGGAUUAGGUGUGGGGCCCACUCCACAUCGAAUUUCAACGAUUUGAACCGUCUAUUUUGUUAGUCUCGAUUCAUAGAUCAUCCUUGCAAAAAUUCAAUUCAAUCCGAAACCGUUUGCCUAUUUAAUUAUCAAUAUCAAAUUUCAUUUUUUCUUAUAUAACAAAGUAUUUGUUCAUUUCCUUAAACCCAAUUAGAUGUCUUAAACAUUUCCGAUUUAGCUAAUAUUUUGUAAGGAUGAUCUAUGAAUCGAGACUAACAAAAUAGACGGUUCGGAUCGUUGAAAUUCGAUGUGGAGUGGGCCCCACACCUAAUCCCCAUUUUUUUCAAAAAAUUGGGAUCCCUUCCCUUAAGCAAUCUAACGUGUCUAUUUAUGAUUGAGUAAAAAUAAAAGUUGUUAAAUUUAUAGCAACCAAGUAGUGUUCCACAUAAUUUCUUGAAUGAAUAACAAUACAUCCUAUUAUUUUUUUUGUUUACAAACCAAUGACAUGAAUCAGUUGUUCAUACUUACACAUGCUUAACUAUUUCAAAAGUGAGACAUUUCAUGAACUCUUUGUCACCUUAUGUUUUAACAUAAUAUUUUAUAAUGUUGGCACGGUAACGUUAAAUUGCGAGAUGACUUAUAAUUCAUAUAAAGUCUCACUUUCAUCUAUGCUACACAAGACAUGUUAAGGGAAUUCUGUCCAAAGUGGAACUCUUCAUAAACUCUCUACCACUUCACAGUUUAACGUCUACUCUCCUACCAACAUUAUAAAGUAUUGUGUCUGUUGAUGCACAAAAUCAGUGGGGACUUUGGUACAACAGAAAGUGUUAAGUUUGUGACCUUAGCUAGAUUGAUCCGGUCACUAGUGUGGAUAAGUAUGUAAAUGGAUAGAGACAGGGAAGCAAACACAAGAUGUACGUGGUUCACCCAGAUUGGCUACGUCCACGGAGUAGAGGAGUUCUCAUUAAUUGUGAGGGGUUUACACAAGUACAUAGGUUCAAGCUCUCUUUUAGUGAGUACUAGUUAAUGAUUUAGUACAAAUGACAUUAGGAAAUAUUGUGAGAGAAUCAUCUAUAUUUAUAGAAGAGAGUUUCUAGUUUCAUUCUGACAUUGACACGUGUCAUGUUGUGAUUGGCUUCUGAUGUUGACACGUGUCGCGCUAUGAUUGGCUUCUGAUGUCGACAAUGUCGCGCUGUGAUUGACCUCCUGGUUGGAGGGAAACUCUUCUAGGUCCUUGAUAGUAUAACGUUGACCGGUGCUCAGUAGUUUCGGGAUUAGUCAAGUAUGGUACAAACAGUGCUCCCCUAAGUUCUCGAGUGAAGGAAGUUCCUCGGUUGAGGACUUGCAAGAUCCAAGCCAUUGAGUAAUCACAAAACUUCUAAGUACCGAAGUGUGGUAUCAUUUUCACUUGCCUUAUGUGUCUCAUACGUAGAUGUGACAUUUUCUCUGGAAGUACUUUUCCUCCAUCCAGGGGUGAUAUCUUUAACCGAUGAAGAUGCACAAGGUAAUGUAUCAAUUUCACUUGAAGCUUACUUGUAGUUUCGGGCUUGGUCAAGUGCGAUACAAAACCCUACAGUAGGAGUCCCCCAAGUCGCCGAGCUAGGAGAUUUGCCGAAAGAGGUAACAAACAAGGUAAGCAAUCAGACUUCUAAGCAAGCAAUCUGGAUCAGAGGUUUGACUUCGGCUUCCGGUUGAUUGUUCUUCUUCUCCUUGUGUCGUAAACAGCAACAAGGAUAAGGAGAAGCAAAUGGAGAAGAGAUGAUAUGAGAUACUUUUGCUUUUGAAGAAGUAACUUUCCACAAGCUUAUUCUUGAAUUGGGCUUGAGGGUUUUCUGGUUUCCUCCAGAGUAUAAGGCCGACUCAAGAAUUUGAGGGUCAAAACAAGUACAUCAAAUCAAUAGUGCGUUCGACCUUAAUGAUAUGGGAUACUUUUGCUGUUGACGAAGUAAUAGAUGAAUCGGCAUGUGUUCUGUUGUGCUUGUCUCCACAUGCUUCCUUGUAUCCUUCUCACUUGCCUUAUAUGUUCCUCAAACAGAUGUGGUAUCUUUUCUGGAAGCAUAAGAUGUUGAAGAAGAGCACUCGAGAGCAAUGCCAGGUAAGUAGUCAGGCAAGAGGUUCCAAGCAGUCAGUUCCUGACUUGAAACUUAAUUCCAAGUGCUGACUGAUUGUUCUCUUUCUCUUUGUCUUGCAGGUAAGAACAAGGGUAAAGGAAAAGAUAGGGAAAAAGCAUGAUAUGAGAUACUCUUGCUUUUGACCUUGAUGAUAUGAGAUACUCUUGCUCUGGUGUGGCUAGUUUGCAUAGGUAUUAUUGGGGGGAAGAAAGCUGAGUAUUUCGAGAGGCUUCGUUGGGAGUGCCCUCUCAGAUAUGAGGAAGGGUUGAGCAUUUUUGCAGAUCUGCCUGUCCGUGGAGGAUGGAGGUCGACAUAUAUAGGAGUUUCCCUAACAACAAGUAGUAAUGCUAUUCCUUUACCCUUUUUGGUUGUAGCAAUGUAGUGGGAGCUGCAAGCUUCACGUGUUUUAACUUUGUAAAAGCACUUUGAAAAAAUGGUAUGCGGUAUCUGGAAAACUGGUGUUGCGUGUGAAUAUUGCAUACAAGCUUUAUCCAAGGAAAUCUGAUUCUCGAAGUUCGGAGAGCGAUGCCUCUUCGGUUUUCAAACAAGCAAUCCUGUCGGGGAUCUGGCUCUCGAGAUUCGGAGAACAGUGCCUCUUCGAUUUUUGCGAAAGCAAUCAUGUUGGGAGUUUGGCUCUUAAGAUUUGAAGAGAGGUGCCUCUUCGAUUUUUGAGAAAGUAAUCCUGUUGGGAGUCUGGCUCUCGAGAUUCGGAAGGCGGUGCCUCUUCAAUUUUUGAGCAAGUAAUAAUGUUAUUCCUUUACCCUUCUUGAUCAUAGCAAUGUAGUGGGAGCUGCAAGCUUCACAUGUUUUAACUUUGUCAUAACGCUUUGAAAAAGUGGCAUGCGGUAUCUGGAAAGCUGAUGUUGCGUGUGAAGAUUGCAGACAAGCUUUAUCCAAGGAAAUCUGAUUCUUGAAGUUCGGAGAGUGAUGCCUCUUCGGUUUUCGAACAAGCAAUCCUGUCGAGGAUCUGGCUCUCGAGAUUCGAAGAACAGUGCCUCUUCGAUUUUUGAGCUUCUAGCUCAUUGACUUUAGCUUGAAGAGCAACCCUCUUUCCUUCAUUCUUUCGUUGUUUCGCACUAGGUGCAAGAGGGGUGUCAUUCUGUGUGUUGUGGCUUCCUUCGCUCUCCAUGUUGGAGAUGGAUGCCUGGUCAAAAGAAAGCGUACGAAUUGUGGAAACCAGCUUGACAAAGCUGAAGAGAGUGGGAAUAAGCGUCGUUCCCACAGACGGCGCCAAAUCUUGAUGCACAAAAUCAAUGGGGACUUUGGUACAACAGAAAAUGUUAAGUUUGUGACCUUCGCUAGAUUGCUCCGGUCACUAGUGUGGAUAAGUAUGUAAAU